RNAcentral lists this long non-coding RNA (70381 nucleotides) under Phaseolus vulgaris (common bean). RNAcentral describes it as "long non-coding RNA (PVUL_LNC002081)". The record is from RNAcentral. Lineage: Eukaryota; Viridiplantae; Streptophyta; Magnoliopsida; Fabales; Fabaceae.
UGUCAGUUCACGUUACCCCUUACUAAAAUACGCUAAGAAAAGGAUUUCACAUAUUCAACCCUAAGAGAAUGUUUCAUAAGAUAAAUCUUUGUUUGAAAUGAAAGAUAUUUACGCAACAAUAAAAAAGAGAACGAAAAUGGGUAAGAGGAAACGUUGGAAUUUGUAAUGAGGUGUGCAGGGAGGAUUUUAUUACCAUGUGGUGUGAUGCAAGGGUGGUAUCUAGUAGUGGUAAGGAGGAGGAGGAGGAGGGGAUUUGUAGUAGUAGUGGGGUGGAGGUGGUGAAGGGACUGGAGGAGGAGGAGACUUGUACUUAUAAGGCUUCUUGUGAGGUGAUGGUGGAGGAGAGUGGUAAACUGGGGUGGGGACAUGGGGAGGGUAGGUGGGAACUGGUGGCGGUGGGGAGUGGUAGACUGGGUGGGGGUGAGGGUAGCGGUGCCUGUGCACUGGUGGAGGAGGGGAAGAGUAUUUGUAUGACUUCUUAGGAGGGGGUGGAGGAGAGUGGUAAACUGGGUGUGGGUGAGGGUAAGGCUUGUGCACUGGUGGUGGGGGAGAUGGGUAUUUGUAUGGCUUCUUUGGUGGUGGAGGUGGUGGGGAGUGGUAGAUUGGGUGAGGGUGAGGGUGAGGGUGUGGGUGAGGGUAAUGGUGAGGAGGGGGUGGAGGAGAUUGGUAGACUGGGUGUGGAUGAGGGUAGGGCUUGUGCACUGGUGGUGGUGGAGAUUGGUAGACUGGGUGUGGAUGAGGGUAGGGCUUGUGCACUGGUGGUGGUGGAGAUGGGUAGUGGUAGGGAGGUGGUGGUGAGGAGACUGGUGGAGGUGGAGGAGAGGAGUAGGAGUAGUGGUUGCCGGAGAUUUGAGAUGGGAGGCUGAAAAGGAUAAUGGCAAAUGCAAGAGUGAUAGAAGCAGAGGCCAUUAGGGACCCCAUUUUCCUCCAACUGAGUUUUGGUUAUGCUCUAAAGUGAGCUUCUGCAUCCCUUUUUAUAGUUGCUUCUGAACCAUUUAACUCCAACCUACACCUUUCUUAACUCUACUUUUUUUCACUUCCACACUCACCUUCUCGGAAACACGUUAUCACGUACGUAAUCCUGGUUUUGAACUAUUGCCAUGACAUUGACUUUCAAACCCUUUGGAACACGGUUUUGGAUUCGAUUCAUCUAUCAAAAUAUUACGUGCCUUUUUUUAUGCAGAUCUCUAAUCAAAAUAUCAACUUCAUUUGAUGAUGUGUAAUGUAUUCUUCCUAUUAUGCAUGUUGUUGAAGUAAAACUUCACUUAUGAUCAUGAUUGAAUAGGAGCAUUAAAAAAUACUAACCAAAAACAUCUAAGUUUUGUUGCUUUGAAACUAAUUAAGAAGGUUAACAUUACAAGUUAAAUAUGGUAAACUUAUUGGUUUGAAUUAUUCUGAGUCAUAAAUAUUGUAUUGUAGAAGUGCUUUUGAUUGUGUAGAAAUGAAAAAGGUAAAAUAAAAAUAAGUGCAGGGAUGCCAGACUGUGGAGUCUGUAGCUAGGCUGAAAUGCUGACACAACCUUUAUUUUUCUCUGUGUGGCGGAAGAAAAGACAAACAAUAUGAUUUAAUUAUUUGUUGCUUCUAGCACUGAAACAUCACUCUGUUAAAAAACAUGCAUAAUUUUUGGGUACUACUUUUUCGUUAAAAUAAUGACAUAAAUGAAUUCAGCUGUAUCAAUUGAGGAACUAAAGUAAAAAUAUGGAUAAAUUUUUCACAUAUUUUAAAAAUUAUUUUUCUAACUUACUUUCCCAAUUCAUAUCUAAUUUCAGAAUCUUUGAAACUUGUACUUGUCUAAAGUGGUACUGCAUGAUAUAGGGGCACCUAAAACUACAUAUUUUUCAUCCUUCCCUGUCAUUAAUUAAGUAUUUAUUAAACUAUUUUUUCAGUUCUAAUAACUGUAUGAAAAAAAAAAAUCUCCACUGAACAAACUACAAGUUUUUUUUUCUCUUUUUUUUAUAUAUUUUAAUAAGUAUUUUUAGAAAACUAAAUAAAAAGGAACUCAAACAUUUUUAUAGGCUAAAUUUCUUUAAAAAAUUGUGCAUCGUAAGAAGGAUAAGUGGGAAGGUUUCAACUUGGGAGAUAACACUCUAAAGUGAAAAAACAUUUUAAAUUGGGAGUUGAACUUUCUUUGCCAGCUCAAUGCAGGUCCAUAUAUAUAUAUAUAUAUAUAUAUAAUAUUAUUAAAAAAAAUUAUAAAAUAGAAACUAAAUUUUUAUAGACCAAAAUAAUUAAUUAUAAUAAAUAAAUUAAAUAGUAACUAAAUUAAAGAUCACUUUAAAAUUAAUUUCAAAAUUAAUUUUUAUUAUUAUUAAAUAGUUUCUAAAUUGGUAUCUAAUUAUCAACUAAUGUUUUAAUUACCAAUUAUUUAGUUUCUAAAUUUGGUUUUUAAAAUCUUGUUAUUAAUUAAAUAUCAAUUUAAAAACUAUAUAAUAAUAAUAAAAAUUAAUUUAGAAACUAAAAUUUCUUUUAUUUUUUAAAAUAUCUAUAAUUUAGUUACUAUUGCAACUAAUUAUUUUGAUCUUUAAAAAUUGAUUUUUAUUUCAUGAUUUUCUUGUAGUACAUUGAUUAAUGCUUAAAAUAAAUUUAUUAAGUAAUAGAUUUAAGACGAGGUUGAUAUUUACUUACAUAUUAUAUAUUAUCAAAUAUUAUACUUUGAUCUAAAAUUUUCAGCACGUUUUCUUAGGUUGAAAUUUUCUAAUUCGUGGUAUUGUAAUUUUCUAAUUCGUGAUAUUAUAUAUAUAUAUAUAUAUAUUUUAUUUGAUAAUAAUAUAAUAACCGAGGAUAUGCUAAACUCAAUCAAUUUUGUUAAGAUAAACUUAACUCUGAUUUUAUAUUAAAUAAUAAAUUUUAAAUAUAAUUUAAUCUUAUAAACUGAAUUAUGAAUUAUAAAGUUAGGUUUAUAAUUAUUUGUAUAUUAUAAAAAUCUUCAUAAUAUUUUCAAUUUUUGUUAAAAUGUAUAUUCUUUUUAUUUUAUUUCUUGACAUUAUAAAUUAUACGAAAAAAAAAUGGUAUUCUAUGCUCCAUUCCCGAAAGCACCAUUUCACGUGCCAUUGUCAUGCAUUUCUACCUAUAAUAGCUUACUGGAGUAGGCCAAGACUCACGAGUUAUCCAAAGUAAUCUUUGUUUUCUAUUUUCCCUCUUUUUCGGGAACUUAAAUUAAAAUGUUUUUUUGAUUAAAUAUAAUUAAAGUUAAUUUAAACUUAUUAUAAUAUAAUAUUAUAAGAAAGGAUGUGGAUAAACACAGUCAUUAAGAAAAUGUAUUACUUUACAUAAUUGUGUAUAAAUUAUUAUAAUAUGAUCAAUUAUAUUAUUUUACAUGCUCAAUUAAAUGUUUUCAGAGAAUUAUAUUUGAAGUUGGAAAUAUUUUUGUAUGAAUUUCAAACUCUUUUUUCUUAAUCUGUAAAGCUGGGAUGAAUUAUUGAAUGAAAACUCCUCAACAGAUAAUUCAGAAGUGACUCAAAAUUCAGAAAACAGAAAGAGAAAAUCAAAUUAAAUUUAAUGAAUAGUUUUAUUUCCAAGGCAGCAUAGGGUAUCCUAAUUUCACUAAUAUUAAUUUGAAAAUUUACAGUAUUCGGGAUUUUAUUUUGUAAUGUCUUCUGUAAAUUGUUAAAUAUUAUUGUUGAGAUCUACCUACCUAUCUACCUAGCCAACUUCAUAAAAUAUUUAAUCACCUUUAAAAUUUAUGUUUUAUUAUCUUUAUCCAUGAAUUAAAUUUAAUGAUUUUAAAAAAUAAGUUUAUGUUACAAUUAAAAUUAUUUUACUGGUAUACAAGUAUAUUUUACAUAUUCAGAAAUAUUUAUUUGUUAUAAAUUUUAAUAACUGUAAUUUUGAUUUUCAAAUAUAAAUUAUAAUUGUAAAAUAUUUUAUAUAAUAAUUUUUUUUAUUAUAAUUUCUACUUAUACAAAACGUAAAUAUUUAUUCGAAUAAUACUCGUGAAAUUGCAUGUGCAUUUGUUGAAUCUGAAGAUGGGCUAGUAUAAUUAAUUUUUAUAGACAAAAAACUGUGAUUGUAUCUUUUCAAUAAUUUGUAAAUCAGUUUCUUUUCUAUGCAUAUACUGAUGAGACUUAAAUAAAGAUUUUGUGUAUUAGUUAAACAUAAACAAAUUUCAACCAUAUUGAUUCCUACUUAAAACACCAUUUCCAAUAAUAAUACAUACAAAUCCAUCCACAGAAAAUACAAAACGAUUUAUCAGAGCUAAAAUAUAAUGUAUGAUAUAUCAUAAUCUUUAUUAGCAUGUGCUUGCUACUAUAAUUAAUUAAAGUUUUAGACAAAAAUUACCUUUGAAGAUAACUUGAUACACCUAAAGAGUUCCAACAUAAUGCAAAGCUAAAGAAAUAUAGGAAAUGAGCGUGGGUGGUUCAGUGUGAAUUGGAUAGGAGAUAAGACUCUAUUAAAUAGACUUCCUGAAAGUCUAAAUUCACCCAAUCAAUCAAAAUAAGUUUGAAUUCAAACUUCAUUGCCAAAAUGAAUCUCUGUGACAUUUUGAUUAUUGUACCCAAAGUGAAAAUUGUAGCCAUGUGAACAUAAAGUUCUGAGUAAAGUGUACGCUUGACAUGUAUUUUGAGGAAGAAAACAUUGUUUGUGAGAAAAUCAAGUUGUUGCUGCACGACUUUGCAAUUGAAGUUGCCAAUAAUGAGAAAUUUUUUCAUUUUGUGCUUAUGCAAAGUUGUUAUUAACAGUGAAGGAAACUUUGAAAAGGAAGACUGAAAAAUAUUAUGACCAAUGCAAGAGUGAGAGAAGCAAAGGCCACUAAAGACCCUAAUUUCCUUAAAGUUGGUAUUGGUUAUAUGGUCAUGUUGAGAAACCCAAACUAGCCCCUUUUAUAUACCAUUUAGCUCUAAGCAUCUUCCUAACUUUAUUUGUUUCCUUCACAAUACUACACGCAUGCACCAAUGGUUUUAGGAGCAAGUGUCCCAAAGCGUUUUUGGAACGGUUGUGACUCUAAUUGCUUUUGGAACGUUGAAUUUGGAUUUCACAGGCUGCGUCCUAAUUAAGACAAAGCACGUUUAUUUUUCUUUACAUCCCAAAACAUAGCAUAAUAUAUAUUUAAUUAUCUUUGAUUAUAAGUUUCUAGCAUUCACAAAUUUCAUUCCCCAAAUUAUUUGUUUGUUGUUGUGUGUGGUUUAUAGGGAACUAAAACACUAGUUUAUAGGGAACUAAAUCUCUGAAACUAUAUUUGAUAGUUAUGAGAAACUAGUAUAUGGUAUUCACAUUUUCUCUGUUGUUGAUUGCACUGCCAUUGUAUUAUACAUGUAUCAAGAAAACGUAGUGACUUUGUAAUUCUGUUUCGUAGUUUUUACAUAAAAAAUUACUAGAUUUUGUAAGAUAUGAAGCAAGUGUGGGGAUUAUUUGUUCCUAGGGAAAGUUUUAAAGUGAACUUGUAAGUGUCUUCAAAUCUGUUUUGCACAAUAAAUAAGUGCGACGUAUUAGAUUUCAAACAUUGCAAAAUAAAUGUUACAUGUUUACAUAGGUUUUUUAUUGGUAAGUAAUUCAAUUUUUUUUAGAGGUGGUUGUGAUUUUAUUAUAAUUUUAAAGUCAAAUAAGUGAGUCGACGGAUAUUGGAUAUCAAACAUGGAAUAAAUUUUGCAGUUUUUUAGGCCUGUGAUAAGAAAAUACAUACAUUACAACAUUAUUUUUAAUUAAAAUAUGUUUAGGAAAAUGAAAUGUCUCAAUCUGUGUAGAGAUUAAACUCUAUAUAAUGCUCUGAUACGAAAUAUGAUAUCAUCGGAAGUGUAAUUAUUUGGCAUAUAUAUUAUACUUUAACAGCCGAAAACAAUCAUUUACCAAUUAAUUAUAUUAAUAAUUUAAUUAUAUAUUUCAUUUUUAAAAUUAAAUUAUUAAAAUAAAAUUGUGAAAUAUAUCUUAAAAUAUAAUUUUUCACAUAUAUAUUCGAUGUAACGAAACUGACUUUUAACUAAUCCGAGAAAUCGGGUAAGAACUUUUCGAAGAACUGAAGUGCCUCUCCAUUCUGAUAUUGACAAAAGGAAUUUAAAACAUUCAAAUCAAUACAAAUUAAAUGUACCUAUAAGACUGAAUUUCAUUUCAAUGAAUUUUAUGAGGAAAAAGAUAAAUAAAAAAUAAAAUAAUUCUUUAUAAAAUUAGUUUAUGUAUAAUUUAAUUUAUAAAAAUUAAAAAAUAAUUUUAAUUUGUGUAUAUAUAUUAAUUUUUAUUUAUAAAGAAAUUUGUUUUAUUUUAUUUUUCAUACUUUUUCUUAUAAAAGUCCUUUUAGAAAGACUAGUCUAAAUAUAUCCCAAAAAAUAUAUUAUUGUACUACGACAUCAGUACACUGACAUCAUGCAUAUGACAUGACUGAAAAACUUUACUUUGAUUUUAAUUUUUCACAUUUUUAUUCAUCUUCUCAAGUUUCUUCAAUUAAGUAAUAAUAAUUUAGUAAAAUAUUUUUUUAAAUGAUAAAUUGUUUAUUAUUUAAUUAUCUUAGUAUUUUUUUUAAUUAUUGUUAUUUAACUGAAUAAAUGGAGAAAAAUGGCGCGAAAUUUCACUAUUAAUAAAAAUUAAAUUUAGAGAUAAAUAAUUUUCUUUAUGAUAAUAAAAGUAAAAUAUAUAAUAAAAAUUGAUAUUAUAAUAAUUAUCAAAAUAAUUAUUAUUAUAAAAUAAAUAUUUUUAAGGCAUAAUUAAUUACCCUUUUUCUUGCAACAUUUUCUAACUUUAUUCAAUUUAAUCUCUAUAUUUAAAAAAUAAAUAAAAAAUGAUACCAAUCUUGUUUAGAAAGUUCAAUAUGAUUUCAACUUCUUUUACUAUUCAAUCUGAUUCCAAUGUUUUUAAGAGUUUAGGGUGGUCCCGUUUUUUUAAAAAUAACUCAAUAGGAUGAUUCAAACCUUUUUUUUUUUUAAAUCGCUAAGAUAUUAAAAUGAAGACAUUUAGCAUGAAGGAUCACAUUAAAUCGUUUCUAAACAAGAUUGAGAACAUUUUGAAUUUUUUAAACAUACGGAGAUUAAAUUAAAUAAAGUCAUAAAAUGUUGAAAAAAAAGUAAUUAUGCCUAUUUUUAAUUAAUUUUUAUAAUAUUAUAUACUACAAGAAAAUAUUUAAAUAAAAACUAAUUUUAGAGAAAAAAAAUUAGUUAUUAUAUUAAGUAAGUUAUAUACUAUUUUAUAAACUAAACAAUUUUUUAUAUAUAAAGUAGUUUUUAUUAUUAAUAAAAUUUACAAACUAGUUGUUAAAUUAUUAUCUAUCAAGGUUUUAGCUAUUAAUUAUGUUAGAUUAUAAAUUAAUUAGAUUAAUAAUAAGUAUAAUUGUAAACAGUUAUGUGUAAAAAGAAACUUUUAUUUUGAAAGAAUAAACCUUAUUAAAACCUUAUAAAAAAAAUCCUAUUGAGUUGAAGAACAUUAGGGAUAAAAUAUUGAGUUAAGGAAAAUUAGUACUUUAUCUUAUAUUCAACGCAAAUCAUAAUGUAUACACCAUAAAUCAAUCAAAAAGGUGUUUCUACCAUAGAUGUUUGGGGAAUACACUGAUAUCCCACAAUAUGUUGGGUAUAUUUUUGGCCCAAAGAUCUUUGGGUUCCCCAAGAUUCUUUUUGAGUUAUGGGUUUUGCGUGUAGGAGUAUGGUAAGUUUGUGACAUAUGAAGUUAGGAUCAAUCUCUAGCGUUUCCACUAGACUCCAUGUGAAGAGGUCAGAGUUACUGAAUAGUACCUUUUCUAUAAGGAUCUAAAAAUUUACUUUAGAGUAAAAGUGGUAUAUUUUAAAUGAUACUUGAAUAUUUUAUUAUUAAAAUGAAAAGAACAUAUAAAUAGAAAAAUCAUUUAUUCAGAUUUCAUUUCAAAAGAACCACCAUCUCUCUAGAAGUUUCUUUUUUCCUUUCCUCACCCUACUCUCUAAGAUUAUGACCUCCUCGCUCAUCAAUUUGACGAUCGGAGUCUGCUAUUAAACUCUUGGCAGCGAAGACUACAAGACUGCCCAAUCAAAAUCUCUUAUAGAGUAAGUUCAAUUUUACUCUUCUCUUUGAGUCAAAUUUUGAACUUGUAGGUCUGUCUCAAUUUAAGUUUACACAUUUGACUCUUUUAGCUUUAAGAUUAGUCUUUGUUAUCUCAGAGUCCUAGUCAUAUAGUUAAAAAUUUUAUCAGGACUUUGUGGUGCAUGUUAAGCUACUAUUGAAGCUUUUGGUAGGUUUGAAGCUCUUAGGCUUUGUUUGGAUCCAGGGGUGCCACUGUUGGCGACGACGAAAGUCACAACAACACCCCGUUUGGAUCCAUGCAUUGUUGCGGGUGAGGGUGCAGCGAAAGAGAAAGUUGAGUGAAUUGUGUUUCUUCUGAAAGAUGAAGAGAAAGUUUCACUGUGCAGUGCAAGUGCCAAGUCAUCACCACGAAAUUCCAAUGAUGCCCUUACUUUUGUGUUGGAAUCAAGAAGCACAGUGGCUGUGCAUGCAUGCCAGAUGAAAGCAUGAAAUUCCUGACUUGGCUCAGGAAUCUAUUGACCAUGUGAAAGUUUGAAACCUCAUCAAUGAAAUGGGUGAGAGGUAGGUGCGUGAGAUUUUUGGUUUCUUUAUAAACGUUGCUUCCUCCAUUCAUAGUCACAGAUAAGCGAAGCAUAAGCAAAGAGAGAGCGAAGCAUAAAGUGUGUAGUUGGAGAGAUUUGUAAGUCAUAGUGUGUGUUAGGGGCUUCAUUAACGUAGAGGUUAUUCAUCUGAAAGUGAUGUGUUCAUCUCUGGGUUCAUCUGUGCCUUCAUGUGGUUCAUCUCUGGGUUCAUCUGAGGUGAGUUUAUAUGUUUGAUUGUUGGUUAAUCGAUUAUGGUUUAAAUAUCACAGGCAAAAUAAUCGAUUAUAGUGUAAUCUGCAAAAUUUCCCAGGCAUAAUCGAUUAUCUGUAGUGUGUAAAAUUGCUCUUAAUCGAUUAUUUGUUGUGAUAAUCGAUUAUUGUUGUUUUUAGCCUAGUAGCAUAAUCGAUUAUGCUUUGAUAAUCGUCUUAACUGUGUAAAAGGGUUCCUAAUCGAUUAUGUGUUGUGAUAAUCGAUUAUGGUUGUUUUUUUGCCUACUAACAUAAUCAAUUAUGCGUUCAUAAUCGAUUAUCCUGUGUGUGUAAGUGAUGCCAUAAUCGAUUAUGUUCUAAAUUUUUUGAAAUAUAAAUGUUUGUUAAUUUAUUUGUUUUCUGUUAUUUUUAGGUGUGUUGAUCUUCCUAUAAGCCAUCCUAUUGCUGUUCUUGAGUGCUUAUCUUCAGGUUUUAAAUUUUUUUUAUGUAAAAUUAUUUUAUUUAAUUUCUGUUUUAUAUUUAUGAUUAUGGUUUUGUAAUAUAAUUUGUUUAGAAUUUAUUUUAGUUUAUUAUGUUAAGGCUGUUGUUGUAAUAUAAUUUUUUUAGAGUUUAGUUUAGUUAAUUAUGUUAAGUAGUUACUAGAUAGUUAAUUAAAUAUGUUAAGGAGUUUAGUUUAUUAAAUUAAUUGUUUCAGUUGAUUUAUUAUUUUAAUUUUUGUAGAUAGUUAUUAAUUUAUUAAGAAAAAUAUUUAUUUCUAUGAAAUGAAUUAUUUACAGAAUGGAAACAGAAAUUUGUAAAUUUUAGGUUUUUUAUUAUAUUAAACAUAAAUUAUUAAUGUUAUAAUUAAAUCAAAUAAAAAAAGUUGUUGUGAUUAAAGAAAACUGAAAAAUUUAAGAUAAAUAUUGUUUAUAAGAGAAUAUAUAUUGUAUAAUAAUAAAUAUACAAAGUUAAUAAAUAUUGUAUAAGAAAACUGAAAUAUUGUAUAAUAAUAAAUAUAUAAAGUUAAUUUUUUUUUAACAUUUAAUAGAAAUGUUUAUAAGAGAAUAGAUAAUUUUUUUAAAUGAAUAUUUGUAUUCUGUAUGGUUAAUAUUUUUUUAAAUUGGACAUAAAUUAUUAAUGUUAUUAGUUGAAAAGAUUAAAAAAAAUGUUUUUGUAAUUUUUGUUAUAAGAUUUAAUUGUUAUAAGAAAAAAAUGAAUGUAUUUAAAAUGAAUAUUUUUAAAAAUUUGUAAUUUGUAGGUUUUUUAAAAAGUAAUUGAUAUUUUAGAAGUAUUAUUUUUAAUUGAUAUUUUAGUUAUAAAUGUAGAAAGUAAUUAUUUAUUUCAAAAUGAAUUGUUUAUGAAAUAGAUUUUAAAAAAUUUAUUUUGACAUAAUGGAAUUCAAAAUUUUAAAAAUAUUUGAUAGGGUUUUCAUUUUUGUAGAUUAAACAUAAUUUAUUAAUGAUAUAAUAAAAAACAUUAUAAAAAUGUUGUAUUAAUUAAAAAAAUAGUAAAAGUUUAAAGUAGAAAUAUCAUUUUGAGUUAUUUUGAGUUAUUCAGGUGGUGAAAGUCAAAGGAGGUUCAUAUGAAUGAGUAAGUUGCUUGAAAGAUAACUAAUUUGACUUGCUAUAUGAAUUAACCCUGUCAUACUAGGGAGAGAUUGUAUUGAGAUUAUUUAUGCGCAUAAAUGUGUGGAUUUCACAGUAAUAUAGUAUGACAGGUGCAAAUCUUUGAGUCUAAGUUAACGCACGAGUCUUCCGGAAAUAUAGUCAAAUGUCUAUGUGUUGUGAGUCAGUAGAAGUCUGACAUGUGAAAGAUAAAUUAUGAAUUUUAAUAGACACUUGAUGAUUUGAGAAAUUUUAUGAGACUUGAUGAAUUAUGUUUAUUAAUGUGAAAUUGAAAUUAUAUAGAAAUUUUUAUAUAACUAGCUUACCAUGUUCUUUGUUUGUGUUUGUUUCUUUAUCUGUGAUGAUCGUGUUUUACACGAGAAUGAGAUUGCAGGUAAUAGAGCUCCUUAGUGAGCACCUGAAGGAUGAAAUUACUUUAAUUUGAAUGUUUUGUUUUGUUUUUAAAACUUUUGGUGUAUAUAUUAAAAUUAUACAAUUAUGAGAUAGUUGUAUAUACUCAUAUGUUAAUUAGAUAUUGUUUGUUUUACUUCUGUUUUAUUAAAUAUGGGUAAAAAUUAGGAAUGUUACAUCUUCAAUCCGCUUUCGAAGAUAUCAACUAACUGAUUUACCAAUCUCCAGGUUGACUUUUGAGUUGCACUUAUACUAGGGGUUCAUCAAAAGAUGGUCGAUUCUCCACAAACUCGGCCCUAGGAUCUAGAAAACCUCAUUCUCAUCGUCUUAUGGGAACUCAAUGUGAAACGCCUGCUCGAUAAAGUUGUUGGUAUCCCCAUGGCCUUGGUCAUUUACUUCCCUGUGCUCCUUCGGGUAGGCUAUGGCCUCGCCAAUUGUUGUUGUGGUCAAGGUCUUUACAAAAUAAGAGAUGACCUUGAUGUUCUCAACAUAACACUCCCUUAUCAUCUUCAGAUUUGCCUUCACUAUGAUUAUUUUACCAUUGUCACUGAAAACUUCAUGGUCAUGUGUAGUCGACACUAUGGCGUCCAAUUGAUUAAUACUUUUGCAUUUGAUGAUGUCAUUGCAGGAUGUGGUACCACAAUGAGAGAUAAAUGGAACUCUUAUUCUGGUCAGGGGAAUAGUAUUUUUGUUUCAAAGGUAAGCUGAAGAGUAUGAAAGUUGAUAUCAAGGUGUGGAAUUGGGAUGUGUUCGGGCACCUGGAAUCUGAGAAGAAGAAUUGUUUGAUGGAUAUUGAGGAGCUUGAUGUCAAAGAUGAGGGUGAUGCUUUGCCAGAGAGUUUAAGGACGAGAAGGUUGGUUCUCAUCAAUCAUGUAGAAGAGAUCAAUAAGAAGUUGGAAUCUAUGUUUAGGCAGAAAGCUAGAGCUAAUUGGCUUACGUUUGGGGACUCUAAUUCCAAGUUUAAUCAUUAUGUAAUUAGAUGGAAGAGACUUAGAAAUGAGGUUAAGGGUGUCGAAGUGGGAAGUUUUUGGGUUGAGGAAUCUAAGGUAGCGCGCAGGGAAGUGGUGAAGCUUUUUGAAGCUAAAUUCUCGGCUACUCAGGAUUUUGGAGUCAGACUUGAGCAUGUUGAGUUCAAAUCCUUAUUAGAGGAGGUUAGCUUAAGUCUGGUGUCCAAGAUCACAGAGGAAGAAGUAAAGGAUGUUGUCUGGUUGUAUGAGGGGUCAAAAAGUCCUGAACCAGAUGACUUUAAUUUUAAUUUUAUCAAGAACAGUUGGGAAGUGCUGAAGCUUGAUGUGGUAGCUGUUGUUCACCCUUUUCAGGAAACAAGUUGUAUUUCUAAAGAGUGUAAUGCGUCUUUUAUUAUCCUUGUCCCCAAAGUUAGGGACCCUAUAAGUCUGGACCAAUACAAACCUAUUUCUCUUGUAGGUUCACUGUAUAAAAUUAUUUCGAAGGUCUUAUCAUGUCGCAUAAAACAAGUUUUACCCGAGGUUAUAGAUGACUGUCAAUCAACUUUCUUAAAGUAAAGAGAAUGUUAAAUAACGUUCUAGUUCUAGUGGCUAAUAAGGUUAUUGAUGAGAUGAGGAGAAAAAAAAAAAAUGUUUUGUCAAUUAUGAAAAGGCAUACAAUUCUGUCAGCUGAGUGUUUCUCUUUCAUAUCCUUUAAAAGUUAGAAUUUCACAAUAAAUGAAUGUUUCUGUUUGAUAUGCUUUGGAAGUUGUGAUUUCACAAUAGAUGGAUUGCGUGGAUCAGAGUCUUUUAAUAGAAAACAAGUAUUUUAAUAAUUUAUACAUAUGAAAGUACAGUGACCGUAUAAAAGUUGUUGUACUGUAACAAAUCAAUAUACAUUAUAAGUUCAUUAUUUUAUAUAAUAACUAUAUAGAUCGUCAAAGUUAAACUAAAGUGACUAUAAAUUAAACUAAAAAAUAAUUAAUUUCCAAAUAUUAUCAUGUAGAAAAUAAGUUGGAGUAAAAAAUAUUAUAAAAAAUAGCUUAACAAUGUGGAAAAAAGGAAAAGAAAAAAAAAACCAUGGAGGAAGAUAACUUUAACUAUGGACACACUCUGAAAGUGAGAUUCGUCAAACAUAUUUUAAGAGUUAUAGAUGAUAGUGAUGAUGAAUAGUGGAGAUAAGUUUCACUAUACUUGUUUUUACCUUUUAAGUAAAAAUUAACAUUCCUGAAAAAAAUAACAUUAUUCAUUUCCAUUUUGAUGGGGAUAAAAUUAGUCUCAUAUUAAUGUAAAAAGAAUACACUGUCUUCUUAGCACCAAUUAAAAAUAAAAAGUUAUAAUAAAAUAAAAUUCAAAAUAAAGUAUUAAAGAAAAUAUUGUUAAUAAUUUAAAACAAAUAUAAGAAUUCGUUAAAUUUCAUAUCUAAUUUAAAUAAUUAAAUUAAACAUUGUUCAUAUAAAGACAAAUUCGAAUAAUAGUAAGACAUAAAAUAUUUUUUCAUCGAGGUGAUUUCACCGAUUACAUGGAACGAUUGAUUGUGUUUUUUUUUCAGAAAAAAAGAAAAAAUAUCUCAUUUGCUUAAAGACAAAAGAAUAUUAACUAUAUUUCUAAAAAUAAAGAAUAAACUUAACAACGAGAACAACUAAUUAAUUAAAUACAUACGUUUGUAUAUAUACUAGUAGCCUAUACCAUGUUUAAUUAUGAGUAUAUGCGAUUAUUCUUAAAUUAUUAUGUCACUUUUGUUUUUCAUAUCUAUGUCCUUCUUAUUUGAAGGCUAAGCCUAGUCACGCAUCAACUUGAACAUCAACUUGGAUUCCUACGGUCCUAUGAAUGCAUAUAACUUGCCCUCAAUCCCACAAUUACAUAAAUUAAAUAAAAUAUUAAAACAAAUAAUUUAAAAACAACUUAAGUGGUUUAAAGUCAGAUUCACUUUUGUAUGAUUUCUUUAAAAAAAAUUACCAUUUUAUUUUAAUUUAUAUGUUACUGUUUAUUAUAAAAAAAAUUAAUUUUAAAAAUUAAAAAAUAAUUAAUUUUUAUAUUGAUUAAAUUAGAUAUUAUUCUUUUAAAUAAUAUUUUAAUUUUUUUUAUUAAUAUCUAAAUUAUUUUUUAUUAUUUUAAAUUGAUAUUUAAUUAAUUAUAAUAUUUUAAUUACCAAUUUUAAAAUUUAAAUACUUAAUAAUUAAAAACUUAACAGCUAAUUAGAUAUUAAUUUAAAAAUUAUUUAUUAAUAACAAAAAAUAAUUUAGAUAUUAAUAAAUUUUUAAUUUUUAAAAUAGUAUUUAAUUUAAUUAAGAUAAAAAUAAAUUAUUUGUUAUUUUUAAAAUUAAUUUUUAUUUAAAUAUUUUCUAACAGUGGGUGAAGCAUAAUUUCAGAUGAAAGAGAUUUUAGGUGUUCUUUAAAUGGAUUUACUUAUAAUAUUGGUUUACAUUAAUUCAAUAUUGCAAUGGUUAUACAAACAUUUUUAACAAGUAUUGUAUUGAUAAUAUUAAAACGUAUUUUAUUUAAUAAGUUUGAUAAAACUUAAUAAAUAAUCAACUUAGGCCUUCCAUGUUAUAGUUUGAAGAAUUAAAAUUGAUUUUUGGUAAAGAAAGUUGGAAAAUGGUGAAGAUUUGUUCCCCCUUCUCGAAAACAAGUUUAAUAUUAAGUGAAAGUGACAUAUGAGAUCCUGAUGGAUCUAAAGUGGAAAACCAGUUUAUGAGAGAUUGGUGUUUUCGAAAGCACCUCAGAAAAAAACAUGUCGGUUGAUUUUAUAAAGGUUCUCGAAUUAAGCAUGUCGGUAAUGACAUUUAAAAUAAACAUGUUUUAUUGAAUCAAAUCUGCAAUUGGUGAUUUGUGUCUGAGACAAUAGGCACCCUUUCAUCAUCAGGAGCAGUUAUCGAUAUUCUUCACAUAAAAUAGUGGAGUUGGUGGUCACUAAUCAAAUGCAACCUCUUUCUUUUUUUUGUUUUGACAGCUCCCAUAAUGAAUUUUUUUUGAAGAAUUUGCGACCUCUUUCACACUGAUUACAUUCAUUUAUAUUUAAAUAAAUUAUUAUUUUAUUAUAAUAUAAUAUUUUAUUUAAAAAAACUUAAUACAUUUUAUUAUAAUACAAUAUUUUAUUCCAAAAAAAUAUUAUAGAAUAAUUACUUUUACUAUUUUGUCUGAAACAAAUUUUAAUCAUUUUAAAUCGAUGGCCGUCCUCCUGGAGCACUAGACCCCAGAUCUGUGAGCUACCGAUGUUGACGAAAGUAUAAAGAAAUAUUUGGAAGUGAGAAUUGCAUUAAUUUAGGAAAACUAAAUGAUUCUUUCUACAAAAUUAUUCUCACUCCUUAAAACCUUGAAUCGUGAUGUCCCAAAUAGGGCACAAAUCAAGCCACCCAUCUUAAAACCCUCAAUAUUGUCUUUACAUCUUUAUUUAUGAGAAAAUAUAACUUAAUAAAUAAUAUUUAUGUUGAAGAUUUUUAUUAUUAAUAAAAAUAUUUUAUAAUAUAUAAAUCAAUAUACACUUUAUAAGAUAAUAAGAUUUGAUAAGAUUGAAUUAAAUUUAAAGUUUAUUUUUUUAAUAUGGUAUUAAUAUAGUUUAUUUUAAUAAAAAUUUAUUAGAUGAUUAAAUUAUCUAUUAUUAGAUUCUUAUGGAAUGAUUCAUUAUAUAGUAUUAAACACAACCUAACAAUCUCGAUGAUAGAUGUUAUGUUAAAAAUUAUGUAUUAAUUAGAAAUAAUAAUAUUUUAUAAUAGGUAAGUUGAUGUAAAUUUUAUUUCAUAAAUUAAUUUUAUUAAAUAGAGUUAUGUUAAAUAUAUUUAUUAAUAUUUCAAACAAAAUUGAGUUAAUUACAAUAAAAAUUAUAUUACUAAGAAUAGUCACAUAUGCUUAGAUAAAAAAUGUUAUCAAUUCAAGUGAGUAUCUGGUCUUCUCCAAAAAAAACUCAACAAAAAUGUCACAUCUUUAGAACUCUAUUUAUGGAUAAAUAAAUAAUUAUCUUAUCUUAAUGUAAUAUAAUUUGUUGGGUAUAUCUUCUUCCAUUUUUCCUACAUAUAAUAUUGACAUAAAUUUAAAACUAGUAUUUUUAUUUAUAUAUAAUAAAAUUUAUAAAUUUAUGUUAUAUACUAAUUUAAUAAAAUUAAUUAAUUUGUAAAUAAUUAUAAAAAUUUGGUGUAUUAUAUUUGUUAUAGAUAUUACAUUAUAAUUUUAUUAUAAACUUAUAAUGUAAUAUCUAUAACAAAUAUAACACAACAAAUUUAUAUAAUUAUUUAAAAAUUGUGGACACUUAUUUCCGCUAGUAUUUAUAAUUAUUCUGACAUAAAAUUUUAACUAUAUUUUUUAGGAUAUUAAAUAAUUAUUAUUCAAAUAUUUUUAAGAUAUUAAUUAUAUUUUGAAAACAUUAUAUCAUUUUUGUAAUAUAGAAAUGGUUAUAUAAAUAUAUUAUAAUUUUGUAUAAUUUAAUUAAUAAUUUUUAUAACUUAUUAAAAAAUAAAUUAAAUUUUUUUCUAUAAAAUUAUAUGCAAUUUUUUUCUAUUUCAAUAUAAUUUAUCUUAUAUCUUAACAUUAUUUAGUUUGUUACCAUAUUUUUAUCUUAUUAUAUUUUCAUCAUGCCAUAUUUUUAUUUUAUUGUAUCAUAUUCUUCUAUUUUAUUAUAUUGUGUUUACUAAACGAAUGUUUAAAAUUUAAAACAGUUAUAAUUUAUAUACAUUAUUUUCUCUAAACUCAUUAAGACGUUUUUGAAAACAAAGAAUUUAACAAAAGUUGAUAUUACACAUGAAAUAAUUCUCAAUCAAAUUUGCUAACGUAAUCAAUUUCUUUUGUAACAUCCUAAUUUUUACCCAUAUAUAAUGAAAUAAAAGUAAAACAAGCAAUAUCUAAUUACGAAUAAUAUAUAUACUACUUUCUCAUAUGUGUAUCUCAAAAGAAAUAUCCCUCCUCAUAGGGAUUUAAUAUAUACAUCAAAAGUUUUAACAACAAAACAAAGCAUUCAAAUAAAACUAUCUCAUUCUCCAGCUGCUCACUAAGGAGCUCUAUUAUCUGCAAUCUCAUCUGCUCCCGUGUAAAACACGAUCAUCACAGAUAAAGAAACAAACACAAACAAAUAACAGGGUAAGCUAUCUAUAUAAAAAGUUUUGAUAUAAUUCAAAUUUUAAAUUAAUAAGCAUAAUUCAUCAAUUCUCAUACGAUUUCUCAAACCAUCAAGUGGCUAUUACAUUCAUAAAAUUCAUAUUUCAUAUAUCAGACUUCUAUUGACUCAUAACACAUAGACUCUUGACUCUACUUCCGGAAGACUCGUGCGUUGACUUAGACUCAGAGAUCUGUACCUGUCAUACUAGCUCACUGUGAAAUCCACACAGUUAUGCGCAUAAAGAAUCUCAAUAUCAUAUCUCUCCUAGUAUGAUAACUUCAUCUAUAUGAUUUCAUUAUCUCAGGAGAGUCAGGAUAUCUCCUUCUAGACGAAUCCCUAGUCAAUGCACAUCCUAAACAAUCUUAACACGAUAUUUUCUUUCCUGAAAAUACUAUGUUUUGAUUUAAAAAUAUAUUCUAAACAUUAAAAUCUCCCACAUCAAACAAUCAAAUCAUUCCACAAUUUAGAAUUUCCAAAACACCCAACAAUUCAUUUCAACUAGAAUGAAAAUAAAAGGAGAAUGAAAUAAAAUUAUCUUCCAACUACAACUAUAUCCAACAGUAUAGUAUUUAAUAAAAAGGAUGAGGAAGCCACAACAUGANNNNNNNNNNNNNNNNNNNNNNNNNNNNNNNNNNNNNNNNNNNNNNNNNNNNNNNNNNNNNNNNNNNNNNNNNNNNNNNNNNNNNNNNNNNNNNNNNNNNNNNNNNAAUUUUAGUUCAUAAACUGAAUCAUCAAGAAAUAUUCAAAAUAUAUAUGCUCUGAAAUUGUCAAGAAACAAAUAAUCACAAACCUUUUUCAAAUACAUUCAUCAAUUCCAAACUUAUAUACAUUCUACAUCAUCUACUAUAUCUAAAUUUUAGAUUUCAAUCUCAAAACAGUUUCAAUCUCAAACAUCAAUCUCAAACAUCAAUCUCAAACAUCAAUCUCAAACAGUUUCUAUCUCAAACAGUUUCUAUCUCAAACAGUUUCUAUCUCAAACAGUUUCUAUCUCAAACAGUUUCUAUCUCAAACAGUUUCUAUCUCAAACAGUUUCUAUCUCAAACAGUUUCUAUCUCAAACAGUUUCUAUCUCAAACAGUUUCUAUCUCAAACAGUUUCUAUCUCAAACAGUUUCUAUCUCAAACAGUUUCUAUCUCAAACAGUUUCUAUCUCAAACAGUUUCUAUCUCAAACAGUUUCUAUCUCAAACAGUUUCUAUCUCAAACAGUUUCUAUCUCAGUUUCUAUCUCAAACAGUUUCUAUCUCAAACCGUUUAAACAAAUUAUUCACCUUAAAAUCAAUAUAAAAAAUUCACAAUCAACCAUUUGAAGAGACAAUCCUGAAAGCAAAAACAAUUGAAAUUGGUGACCACGUCACCUCCAAAUCCAGAAUCUUCUAACCUAUGGUUUCAUUGAAAAUAAUAAGACUAGCUUCCCUUACCUGAACUUUAGCUGAUGCUCACUAAGAGCUCCAAAUCUACCAAAUGCACCGUCCUACUCAAAAGUUGAGUUAGAUAUUAACCCGUACAAAAUCUAAGAUUAACCCGUACAAAAUCUAAUAAGAUCAAAAUUAACUCAAAAGAAAAAGGGGUCAAGAAGGAACUUAAAGAAAAUAUUUUGAUGGAUUCAAAACCAGGAGUCCAACGGCAGACUCUGAUCGCCAAACUAGGAAGUUAGAAUCUUAUAGAAAAGGGAGAAAAGGAAAAAGAGGAACAAAACUGAACUUACUCUGAUCAUCAAACUGAUGAGCGAGGAGAGUUAGAGAGAAGGGAGAGUAAGGAAAAACGAAACUUUUAGAGAGAUGGUGGUUAUUUUAAAAUGAAACAUGAAUAACUGAAUUUUCUAUUUAUAUAUCAUUUUCAUUUUAAUAAUAAAAUAUUCAGUAUCAUUUAAAAUAUACAACUUCUACUCUAAGAUUAUCAUCUAAAAUAUUUAUAUAUCUUUUAACGCUUGCGUUGUUUUAAAGUUAACAAUACACCGCUCACCCUUAAUUUUGUUUAAUUUUGAAAGCUUUGAAAUAAAAAGCUAAUUCUCAACCCUGUCACUCCUUUCUUAAAGGAGCCCUUUCUUUUUUAUUCAACGCUCGAAACUAUUGUUUACAAGAAUAAUAAUAAUAAUAAAAAAACAAUUUCUCCUUUAGUAGUUUUGAAUGGGCCAAACUAUACUCUUUUCAAGAUCUCUCCUGGGCUUUUUCUUUCUGAAACUCCUAAUUUCAAUUUACACCUCCAUAAAUUUAUACUACAAGAAAAUCAUAAAAUAGAAACCAAUUUUUAGAUAUCAAAAUAAUUAGUUGUAAUAGUAACUAAAUUAGAGACCAGUUUAGAAACUAAAAAAAAAUUGAUUUCUAAAUUAGUUUCUAUUAUUGUUAAAUAAUUUUUAAAUUGGUAUCUAAUUAACUACUAAGGUUUUAACUACCAAUUAUUUAGUUUCUAAAUUUGGUUACAAAAAUCUUGGUUGCUAAUUAGAUAUCAAUUUAGAAACCAUUUAACAAUAAUAGAAACUAAUUUAGAAAAAAUAUUUUUUUUUAAUUUUUAAAAUGGUUUCUAAUUUAGUUACUAUUACAGCUAAUUAUUUUGAUUUUUAAAAAUUGGUUUCUAUUUCAUGAUUUUUUUUAGUGUUAAAUAUUCUAAAUUUAUCUUUUUAAAAUUAAAUACUUUAUUUGAUUAGUUGGUGUUAGAAUGUUUGUUACGUUUAUGAAGGAUGUGGUGUGGUUCGUAGUGGUGCUUAGUGCAUUUGGUGAAUAUCUGAAUUUUUGCAUUUUGAGUUUCACUUUUUUAUAUCACACAAUCUGGACAACUUUUACAUUAUAAAUCUAUAAUAUUAAUUUUUUAUUUUAUUUUAUAAAUUAUAAUCUGAAAUUUAUAUUUAUAUAUUUUUAAUAUAUAUUUUAAAAUAUAAAAUUUGUGAUUUUUUUAAAUAUUUUGUUUUUAUUUUAUUCUUAAGUUGUGGAAUUGCAUCACAAUCACAUAUAUUUCAUUGGUUUGUACAAACAACUAUAGAAAACAACUUUAGAAGUGAGGGCUGAAUAUAGAGAUGAAAUUCUAAUAUUGAACCAAAAUAUACGAUGAAGUAGAAAAGUUGUUUGUGAUGAAUCAAUUGGAUAUAAUGAAGUUUGUGACAACUUAAAAUGAAUUGGUUGAAGGAAAUUGUGUUUGCUCUUUAACAACAAAUAAUAUAAUUAUAAUUUAAUUAAUUUAAGUAGAAACAUGUGAUAUAUGACAUUUUUUUUAUUAGCAAAGAAUAGAAUUAAAUUAAAAGGGACAUUUCAAACCCUUAUACAAGAACCAUUCACCACAUAUAGCUAUAACAGAUCGAGGCAACCAAACCAUAAAAAUAAAUACAACACUAAGAAACCAGACACGAAAGGGCUGCCAAUACAGCUACAAAAGUGCUUCUGAAUUAUGCCGCAGAAACAAGGAAACUUGUCCCAGCAACCUGUACCGCAUGAGCUACAUUAAACGCCAUCUGGAUGCUGCCCCAUGACUACAAUACCUCUGUUGCAGCCCCAAAAACAUCCUGCUGAAACCUGCUUCUAGUCCCUUGGCCCAUCUUGUUGGUACUUCAAUGUACACAUGACCCCCAAACUGCUUACAACCGGAUCACCUACAUUGCACAAAACUAGCAACCAACAACAUUCCAACCAAAUCUUCACUUGGAUUGCCUUAAUUACUAAAGCCAAGUAGAUUCCACCUUUUUCACUUACCAACAGCACCUUCCAGGUACACCAAUGGGAGCUCCAGAUAUAAAACCAACCACGUCACAAGAUCUAAAGCAGCAUGUCGGGUUUACCUUCUUAUUUGGACAACAGCAAAAAUGCGCCUUCCAAAGGACCAAUCACUUCAGCUGCUUGUCACAAAUAUGCAAUAUAACUUAGGUCCACCCUGCACCAGCAUAGUUGGCUGCAACGCAUCAAAACAACCCCUCAACAUUAGAUUGUUACACCGUGGUCAGAGAUUGAUCAUAGUCGUGACUCAUGCAUUUGAAAGAUUCAAAAGGAGAGUCCCUUCGCACUCAUUCACAUAAACUCUCAGCUUUGGCAUAAGCUUUCCUUCAUAAUAGGAUACUCCAUCCCAAUCUAUUCUAGUAGCUACAAUCACAUUACAUCAGGAAAAACUUCUAAAAUGCUACCCCACACCACAGCUCCUACUUCACUCACCUUUCAACACUUCCUACUGAUUUCCUCACCACUUCCUCCCUUAAUUUCAUCUGCUUCACUACAUAACCGUUAUGCUUCAAAUCUGGAUAUAGAAACAAGCUGUGUGAAUAUCAGUAUUCACAUUAACUGCUCAAAAGUUCUAAAAGACCCUGCUCUGUUUGAUUUCUGCAACAACUACACAACCACACCACUACAGAAUACUAUGCUCCUCCAUUAUGACCAUCAAUCAUUCCUCCAAAAGCUCCUUGGCUUCGAGUCCAUCAUCACUAGAGACCUCCCUUUUCAGAGUACACUUUGAAGGCAUUGGCUUGGGUUCAGAUGCCAAUUCGAAGAAGCAUACGAAAAGGAGCACACCCUGUGUUUCAACCAUAACCAAGUAAGGAGUUGAGCCAUUUGGAAAAUUUCUUCAGCGUCAGGUACCCCUAGCUUAAAGAUAACACUAUUCCUCUUCUCCAAGAUGCAUCGAACUAUUGCCACCCACAUACCUUUCAACACUUGAUUCGGCUUAAUAGACAUAUGAGCCAGAUAAAAGUUCUCAAAGUGACACCUCAAAUCCUUAUGUUGAACAAACAUAACACCUAUCCACCUGAAGCAUAAAGACCAAACUCGUUGUGCAAAAGAACACUCCCAGAACAAGUGUUGAGUAGUUUCUUCUGACUCUCUACAAAGCACACAAAUAGAAGAGUUUACUGCCACCCCUCUCCUAAGAAGAUUAACAGAAGUUGGGAUUUUGUCGAGUAAGAUUCUCCAUGCAGUUAUAAGGGCUUUAGGCAUUGCUUUAACCUGCCAAAGAGAACAAAAACCGCUAUCAUGUGCAUCAUUGUUUUGAUUAGCCAGACGUACAUAAGCUGACUUCACAGAGAAGUUCCCUGUGGUAUCCCCUCCCCAGACAAGAAUAUCCUUGGAUUCCUUGUUCAUGAUGCCUUUGUUAAUGUGCGUAAGCAACUCUUCCUCCAAAAACGGAUUCCCAAUCAAACCUAGCCCUCCUCCAAUUUAGCCUCCAUUGCCAUCCAUAAACCUCGCACGUACCUACCUCUCCCACCUUCAUUCCUUGAUCCAUAGAAAGAGAAUAAAGUCUAGGAUACAUAGACUUAAGAUUAUUGUUAUUAACCGAAGCGUCUUCCCAGAAUCUAACAUUGCCUCUAUCACCAACUUUCCACACAAUAGUCUUUUGGAACCAAUCAUCAUCUUCACCCUCUCCACAAGCUUUAGAAAGAUCUCUCCACCACCAAGACUGUCAUUUCGAACGGGCUUGGCUUCUUCCUAAUUCCGAACCAUACUUAGAAAAAAGAAUGUCUUUCCACUUCCCUUUUUCAUCCUUCAUCAGUCAUCAUUUCCAUUUUUGUCAGCAAAGCAUUAUUAAAGUUUAUGAAAUCUUUAAUCCCCAACCCUCCUUUCUCAAGGGGUUUACACACAUUCUCCCAUCUUACCCAUGAUAUAGACCAGUUAUCUCUGCCCCAAGCCCAAAGGAACUUCCUUUGUAUACUGAUUAUUCUGUUACAAACCGACAUCGGUGCUUUAAAGAAGGACAAGUAAAAGAGAGGAAUGGCGGUAAACACCGAUUUAAGUAAGUAGACUCUUCCUGCCAUAGAUAAAAAUCUCCCCUUCCAGAUACUAAGUCUAGCAUUGAUUUUGUUUAUGACUGGCUCCCAAAACUAUUUCUUCCUUGGGUUACCUCCUACUUCUAAUCCCAGAUAUUUAAAAGGGAUCGUCAUGGUCAUGCAGUUCAGAGUUUUUGCAUAGGUAUUGAGGGAGAAGCUAUCAACACCAAUGCCUGCCAACUUUGAUUUGUGGAAGUUGAUUUUUAGACCUGAGGCAAGUUCAUAACACCUUAGCAUCGCCUUUAUAGUGAAGACAUUAAAGAAUGAGUCUUCGCACAUAAACAAAGUGUCAGCAGCGAAUUGUAACAAACAACACUCAAUUUCAUUCCUCCCCACCUUCUCACCUUUGAGCAAAUUCAGUUUUGACACUUGUCUCACUAACCCGGCCAAGCCUUCAGCUACCACGAGGAAGGGAAACAGAGCUAAAGGAUCUCCCUGUCUUAACCCCCUAGAGGGUUUAAAUUCCUCCGUAGGGCUACCAUUAACCAGAACAAACACAAACAACGACUCCAAGCAUCCUCUGACCCACGCAAUCCAUUUAGAAUGGAAUCCCAACCUUUGUAACAUAUCAAAGAGGAAUUUCCACUUAACCGAGUCGUACGCCUUUUCGUAGUCCACCUUCAAACAAAUCCCACUCCUCCGUUUUCUAGUUACCUCCUCAACCACCUCAUUUGCCAGAAGGACACUAUCUAACCUUCCACGAUCCUUCAAAAAAGCUAACUGACUCUCAUCAAUGACCAGAGAGAGGACAUCCUUCAUACGAAACGAUAACACCUUAGCUAUGAUCUUAUAGAUGGAUCCUACAAGGGAAAUUGGUCUGAACUGGUCAAGCGUAGUAGGGUCCCUGACUUUAGGUACAAGUGCGAUGAAAGAGGCGUUACACCCCUUUGGAAUGCACCCCGUUUCCUAAAAGAAGUGCAUCGCUUCCACAAUGUCAGACUUAAAAGUUUCCCAACUAUUCUUGAUGAAAUUGAAAUUGAACCCAUUCGGGCCCGAACUCUUUGAACCUUCACAUUGCCAAACAACUUCCUUCACCUCUUCCUCUGUGAAGCUGGACACUAUUCUUAAACUAACCUCCGCGGGAAGGGUUUUGAACUCCACAAUACCAAGAUUAACCCCACAAUCAUGUGUAACCAAGAAUCUUUGAUUAAAUGUACUCUUAGCUUCCCUACAAAUAACUUUCAGCUCUUCACACCAUUGAUGAUCAAUCUCUACACCUUUGACCUCAUUUUUAAGUCUUCUCCACUUGACUCCAUUGUGAAAGAAUUUAGAAUUUGUAUCUCCCAACUUAAACCAGUUUGCUCUAGAUUUUUGUCUACAAAGAGAUUCCACCUGCUUAUCAAUCAGCCUCAACUGACUAAACAACUCCAUUCUUCUCAACUGACCGUGCUCCUCAAGAAUAUUGUUGUCAUCGUUAACAUCGAGAUCUUCAAUAUGCCUCAAAAUUUGCUUCUUCUUGGACUCUAGACACUCAAACACAUUUUUGUUCCAUUCUUUAAGGUCGGCCUUUAGAAGCUUCAAUUUAUCUUUGAGUUUAGAUAUGCUAUUCCCCUGCACAUUAUAAGAACACCAUUUCUCCUUCACAAAGUCCUUGAAACUAGGCUCCAUAAACCAUGCGUCAAUGGUUCUAAAAGGUUUAGACCCCCAAUCUUUGACCGAAAAUUUCACCACUAUAGCGCAAUGGUCGGAUACCACUCUCGGUUGUACAUAUUGCUUGCAAGACGGCCAAAUUUGAAGCCACUCUUAGGAAACAAGAAACCUAUCUAAUCUGCUUUUACCUGUACCAUUUGACUUGAACCAAGUAUAUUUUUGACCUACUACGGACACGUCCACCAAGUAAUUGCUUUCAAUAAAAUCAUUAAAGCCACUAAUCUCCUUUUUUUUGACUAGAAUUGCCUCUAACUCCUUUCCUUUCAUCUUCUCUUCUAACUGCAUUAAAAUCCCCACAAAAGCACCAUGCCACACUUUGAUGCAUACUCUUAAAAGACGUCAAAGUUUCCCACUGAGCAACCGUAUCACUUAAAUUGCAUGCUGCAUAAACGUUUAUCACAACACACAAGCUAUUAGAUUUAAGGUGUUGGCCCAGAAUAACAAUAAAGCCACUUCCUACAACAUGUUUAUCAUACCGAAAUGCUUCUUUGUGCCACAUGGAUAAGAUGCUCCCUGCCCCAUUCACUCCUUCAUUAUGUAUCCACCCAACAUUACUAUCUCUCCAUAGCGAAAAACAUUUAUUGUCUGAUAAAGUAGAUGCUUUUGUCUCUUGCAAACAUAAGAAUUCCGUACCCUCCUUAGCAAUAAAGUGUUUCAAAUAGCGAGCUUUAGAAACCCCCCAGACCUCUAAUAUUCAUAUUGAUAAUAAUCAUAACACACCGGCAUCCUCCUCAGACGACAUCAUUACUUCGUUAUCUCUAACCUCCAUACAAUCCAUUUCUCUAAUCACUGCCUCCUCAUUACCUGAACAUUUCAUCCCCAGAUGUUUACCCGUUCCCCACAACUUGACAGAUUCAGUAUCAUUCCAUUCGACCCUCAGACGGUUAUUACAAUUGAUAAUAUCACUAUCAGUUCCGGCUUUAGAGCAGAGGCUUAACCUGGAUGAGGAUCUGAUCCCAUAUUGAAGGGUUCCUUGGCCUCCCUUGGACAUCCUUCGUGGUUGUGCAGAGGUCGCACCCAAUUCCCAGAGAGCGCGUAUCCUCUGGACUCUCUCUGGUGACUUGAACCCUUCCUUCGCACCUGCAUCUUCCUCCCAGUGCCAUCGGUCCUCCUUUCUAACACUAAAUUAUCCUCGAUUCCCUCUUCGCAGAGACUUUGAUUAUGGUUAUUAAGAAGGUCCUUGUCGCUGCAUUCCGAGGAGCUUCCGUCAUUGCCGCACCGCUUAACAAAAGGAGUUUCUUCUGUUUUAGUCAGUGUAUUCGCCUUUCCUUUCGUCGGUAGGGGUGCCCCAUAUAACAACUCACCUGAACGAUUCUCCAUCUCACCUUCGACGUCACCGGAGUAGACAGGCGAAGCCUUCGGACUUCCUGUCACUCCUAACAUGUCCCCUGAAUGACCCUCUGCCUCUCUACCCCCACCUCCCGUAUUCACAGGGCCCAAUAACAAAGUUUUUUGAUUUUGGGCUUCAACGACAAAAAGAUGGCCCACACAUGUUUCAGGCCAAGUAACCUUUGCACAAGAUAAUUGUACCUCAGCUAAGUUAGCCAAAGAAUUUUGAAUAAUCAUGCAAGCUGCGUUGACCUGUUGUGCCACUGAUAAAGCUGCCCCUACAUCAGAACCUACCUUCUCACGCAUUGCCUUAUUUGAGUAGGAGGAUCUGUCUUUUUGCUGACACACCAAAUCAUUCUGACAACACUCUUCCAAGAGCUUCUUUUUUUGUCUCUAGCGGAGCACAAACUUUGUCUCCUUCCUUGGUCGCCUCCGGUUGCCGUAAAACACCACCGUCAUCACCGUUCUCAUCCCCAUCAUCACUAGAUCUUGACGAGAAAAUCGUUUCCUCAACAAAGGAUUCCAUUGAAGAAACGCUAUCUGAGGAGUCGUAGUGAUUCACGGGGCAAUUACACACUCCUACCCCUUGCAAGGGUUCCUCCUCAACUAGAGAAAUAUUAAAAGCUUUUCCAUUAAUCUGAAAGGCCUUUACCACCCCUUCUUUACAGGACAACGACAUACGAACCUGGAAACGAGCAAAUUCUAGGUUCUCCCAUGAUAAUGUAGCCUCAUCUAUGGUUACCACAGACGCUGCUUCUCCAACCACCUUUGUAAGGCAUUCCUUGGUCCACAAAGAUAUGGGUAGACCAUAACAUCUGACCCAUACCAAUCUGUGGUUCGCUACACAUGCUUCAGACCAUGGUUCUACGUCCUUGAACACACUUACAAACCAGUCUUUGUUUAGCUUAAUAAUGUCUUCCAUAUGAUCCCCUUCCUUAGGUGUUAGGAGUACCAUGUUAUCUCCCAUAAAUCUAACUUUAACCAUACUCAUCCCCCUUUGAUAAGUUCUUCACAUAGUAAAUCAAAGUUCAUGUCUUCGGACAUCCAUCCAACUGCACUGUUAGCCAUCCAAGGAAGAACUUGUGACUUAGUUUCAAAGACAAGACCUUUCCACUUCUCUUGUGAGGUAUUUCUAACUACAUAAGCAUAAGAGUGACUCACGUUAUGUGCCCUUUUGACAUCCUUUCCUUUUUUUUUUUCUCUCCAUACCUCCUUACUUUUUGGCUUCACAGGUUCAUGAGUGAAAUGAUUUUUGGCCUGUAUGGGUAAAUCAGACUCACCACCUAAUUGUGCAGAUACAACUCUCUUGUAUUUAGGUAUGUUCACAUAUAACUUCAUGUUGCCAAUGUAGAUUUGAUCCAACUGCUUCUCUAGACAAAACACAUUUUCCACAUCAAAUAACCUCACAAAACCAAAUCUUCUUCCCCAUCUAUUAAGACGUUUUGAGAUGAAUACCUCUUUCACCCUAGCCCAUUUCUGAAAGAUCUUUAGCAUGUCAUAUUCGCCAAAGCCACCUGGAAAAUUUGAAAAGAAGAACGUAAAGUAAUUAUUCACCGAAAAAAAAUUUCUAUGCUCCUCAGUUUUCCGUCGGUGGCCUUCUCUCUCCCUCCUCCAACGUUCCUCCCUAGUCCUCCGCCAGCGCUCCUCCUUCAUGACCGUGUUUUAAUCAGUCACAUUUUAUAUGAAUAUCCAUUGAAAUGAUUCAACAAGUACAAGACAUAUGACAUAUACUUAUGUUAUAAUGUAUUUAUUUAGAUAUUUGGUAUGCAGGAUGACUUUAAUGGGUACAUAAGGUGACUGUUAAACUUUCCAUUUGUAACUGUCAUUUUGAGGUUCGACAAAGAGCAAAUGGGUCAAGGAAGAAAUACAUGUUUAUUGGAAAGUACUGUAACUUGUACAAAAUAAUGUGAUUUUACUUUUAAAUUAUUUUAAAUUAUAGAAUAAAUCAUUUUGCAAUGGAGAAGUUUGAGGGUUGAAGGUAAUAUGUGUGAUUUAUAAUCAUGAAUUUUUUUUAUGAAAACAAAAUUUGUAGAUAUUUUAUCUACGGACAUACAUCCUUAAAUAAUAUUAAUAAUAAAAUAUUACCCACCGAUAUAGAUCUGUAUGUAAAUUACUUAUAUCUUUAUAUUUGUAGAUAAAUUUAUCUAAAUAUUUAUAUAUGUAGAUAUCACUUACUAUUAUAUCUGUAUAUAGUAUUAAUAAUAUUAAUAUUAAUUAUGAUAAUAAUAAUAUUAUAAUUAUUAAUAUUAUUAUGAAUACUAUUUCUAUUAUUAUUAUUUAUUAUUAUAAAUAAUAUUAAUAAAAAUAAAAAAUAAAAAAUAAAACAAAAAUAUUUUAUCAUUAUUAUUAUUAUUUUUAAUAAUUUUUUUGAUAAUAAUAAUAAUAUUAUUAUUACUAUUAUUUUAUUAUUAUUAUAUAUUUUAUUUUGCAGGCCAGCAAACCAACCUGUCCCGCCCCGCUGUUGGCCUUCGCGAGUUGCGGUUAUGCGGGAUGAGUCUAAGCGGGUCAGCGAGCUAGAUUAGUGAACCCGCCCUACCCUUUUUAGUAGCGGGCCGCAGGUCGGUCCUCAUGGUCCACUCUACAUUGCCACCUCUAGCUUGUACCCAUAUUGGCAUAAAAUACGCUCUAACAAAUGGCAAUGUAUACACGUACCUAGAUGAGCAUAUCAAAAGAACAUGAAUAUCAACUCGAAUGAACUACUAAGAUGAUGGUCAUCGUAAGGAUUCCAAAUUAUCCUUGCAUGGGUCAGACCAUCCAACUGCAUAUACAUAAUGCUAACAUUGUGUAGUAAGCGGAUUGGGGAGGCCUUCGUUUACCAUUGGGACGCGUGUUCUCACUUUAAUCAGUUUUACCUUGAUUGAACUUCUCAGAAGACUAAGAAAUAUUGAAGGUGUUUGUGGAUUGCUAUGAUUGGGGAAAUUUAGAAACAAAGGAACCUCGUUAUCUUUAAGAAUGGUAGAGUGGAUUGUCUGGAGAUCUUCACCUUGGCCCAACUCAAGGUGUGGUCUUGGCUCACGAGUAGAGUAAACAAUGUUUCAUUUACGUAUGCUUAAUGGUGUCUGGACCCUUUGUUCUAUUUGAAGUCAAUUAAAAAGUAAAUGUGGAGUUGGGGUCUUUGUGAGUUUUGGUAUGUGUUGCAGGUUUGUCAGGUGGUUCCGGGGUUUUGAAGCUUAUUGAUUUAUUUCUUCUUAUUGUUUUACUUUUCCCCUUUUGGAUGGAAGAACUUGAUAGGAUCUUGGUAGGUUUUUUGGUUGGAGCUCUUGACCUACUAGGGUAAUGAGCCUUUAAAAUGGACGUUGUCGGGCAGUGCUAGUGGGGGGAAUCUUGUGGGGGCCGGUAGGUUAGCUUAGUUAACUUUGAUAUAUCUUGUUUUUAUGGUUUGGGUUCUACUAACGUUGGUCUUUGGCCAACAAAGGGGUUUAUUCUUGGUUGUAGGUUGUAAGUUGGAAUCUGGUGUUUUAUAGGUAAGCUUAGUUUUUUGCUUUAUCUCUGGUGGUGUGUUUUGAUCAGGGUUUAUGGAAAUCGGACAUAUCGGCAUGAAGGUAAAGGUACUCUAGGCUUUGAAGAAGAGUGGUUCUUUUAGCAUGAUGUUGUGAGUUUGGCUGUGGGUAAGGGAUUUGAGUUGUAUUAGUUUUUUGAUUUGUAACUAUGUUUGUAGAAUUUUGGUUGUAGUAGGAUUUGUUUUGUGUGUAUUGUUUGGACUAAAGACUGGUUGUAUGAACCUGGAUAGGGGAGUAAGGGCUAACUUGCGUGGUUUGCCACUCCUUUCUUUUGAGGUUGGGUUUGGAGGUCUGUAGAGCCUGAAUGGUCAGGUUUUGUGCAUGUUGGAUUUGGCUAUAUAAUGUAUAAGGGUUGAGACACCUGUGAAGUAUCUCCUUUUAUUAUAUUUAUUUUUUUGCUGAGAAAAAAUAAACAUUGUGUAUAUAUCGCCUAGUGACAUAUUUUCUUGUUCAUGAGUCAACCCCUAAUAAAGUGAGAUUCAUAUAUUUCACUCCUAUCCUUAAAAAGUGCUCGUGUAUCAAUGCCUAUUACAAUUUCAACAAAAAAAAAUUGUUCAUAUAUUCAUAUGAAAAUAAAUCUACCUUAUACAAAUUAUAUAUAUUAUCUACCUGUAAAAUCGUAAUAUAACUGUCCAAUUAUUUUUUUUUGAACAAACACAUAUUCCUUAACUAGUCCUACAUCUGAGUCACAUGUAUUAUUUCCUCAAGUCUUUAUACAUUUAUUAUACUAAUAAAAAAUGAAUUUACUCAAUUUACCUAUUUAUAACAAUAGAAUAAAAAAAUUUACAUAUUUUUACCAAAUAUUAACUAUAAUUAGAAAAUAAUAUUAUUAAAAUAAUAAAUAAAAAUUAAAGUGUUAAUAUAAUUAAGUAAUAAUAAAUAAAUUAAGUAGUCAAACUGUGGAUACAUUGAAAAAUGUUAUAAUAUUAAAAAACUGAAAAUGUCAAUCUAUAUAAUUAAAAAUAAUAAAUAAUUAAUAAAAAUGAUAAAAAAUUAUUAUUAAUGGUUUACAAGUAAAACCACCCACCAUAUUCAUUAAUUUAACUUGCAACUGCAUACCAUGUUUAAAAAAUCUACAUCAUUGAUUAGAUACAGAGCAAACUAACAGUGUCGAUUACUACCAUCGCUAACUCGUUUUGAGAAUCUAUACUGCGGAACGGAUUUAUUUUUUGCAAUAGGGUCCAAGAUCCCAACCUUCUUUUACCAGUCAAUAAUAUUUGUUUUAGGCAGAAAAUUAUUUUAUAAUUGAAAUUUGUUCUUAAUUAGAAGUAUUUUGCUAUGCUACCUUUUUUUGUGUAAUGUUAUUUAUAUAUUGUGUAUCAUCGUUUAUUAAUCAGUGAAAAUCAUUCAAAUUUAUUUUAUAUAUUACUUUUCAAAAUUUCUAGAGUAAUAAUUAACAAAGACUUAUUAAUUGACAUUAAAAAUCAGUUAUUUAAAACCACGAACACUUUUCACUUUCUAAAAUUAAUAUAUCUAAGAUAGUUUUUAUUUAAAGAAUUUGACGGUGACAAUAAUGAUACUUGAAUGUUAUUUAAUCGUGUUAUUUUAUAACAUAUUUUAUUUAAUAUAGUAUUAUUCAAAAGAUAAUUAUAUCAUAUAUUUUUAAUAAAUAUUAUAUUUAUCCCAUUUGAUAACAUAUAUAGUUCAUUAUAUUUUCUUCUUUCUUAACAAAAUAAUUAAGCAUAAAGUAUUUUCUCUUUUCAAAAGUAUCUUUUUAUAAUACAUAUUAUGAUUGUUUUGAAUAUAUAACUUUUUCUUUUUUUUAAUAAAAAUACUAUUAUUUAUAAAAUUUAAGAAAAAUUAAGAAUUUUGGGGUUGCCAUGACAUCUUUCCUAUCGAAGAGACUCUUUUACUAGCUGCCUUCCCUAGUUGUCAUUUGUUAUAACUAAUCAUAUUUUUCUUUACUAUUACGAAUAAUUUAACUCUUUUUUCUGGGUACUUUAGGGGUAUCAAAGUGAAGAAAUGAAUAUCUUUGCCAAAAUGGGCUUGCAUAUUUAGAUAUAAUAUUAUAUUGUCAAGUAUAUUUGUGCAUAUAUGUUAUAAAAUCCUACUGUCAAAAUUUGAUACCUGGGCCAACUCCAAUGCAUUACUUGUUACUUUUUGUUUUUGUAAAAGGGAAAAACAUGCUUACAUCAAUUCACGUGCAAAUGGACAAGCAAAUAGAUAACUUUGAUAUGCAAGUCAGAGCCUUUUGUUCAUGAAUGAUUGAGUUAAUCACAAUGGGGACAGACAAAACUAUUCCUAUAUACUUUCAAUAAUUCACUGCAUAUCAUAAAAUAAUAGAUUGCAAGCUCGUUUUUUCCUUUCAAAACCAACACUUUUAAUAAUUAAAAUGUUAACAAAAAUAUUUUUUUUUUCUAAAUCAAAUGAACAAACUUAAUCAGCUUAUACCGAAAAACUAAAUAGAACAUAUACAGAUAUUGCAUGGAACUGAUUUUAGAGGCAGUGUCAUUGUAGCAGCUGCCUCAGCCACUGCCUAGAGCAUUGCUGCACCAGUGUUGAUACUGCCCUUCAUAUACUGCACUUUUUUUUAUGGCAUUCUACGGCUCUGGUAAGGAUCAGAGACCACAACAUUCAUCAAGUAGCUUUACAACUUUCAUCUUCUCAAAUUUUCCAGAUAAUUAUGGGGAAUACGAUAGGAUCAAGAUCUUCCGGUGAUGGACUAGGGUAAAGGAAGUGUUCAACAGGUGGGGGGAGAAGAUUUGGGUUUUUGAGGCUCUUUGAUGUGGAAAACACAAGUACGCUGGAGAGGGAGCUGGACCAAGUUCGCGUAGGCAAUAUGAAACUCUAUGUCAAUAUUCCGCGUUAUAGAAGAGCAGAGUUGGAGCAACCGGUGAGUCACACAAAAUCUGCGGUGGAACAACCAUACCGUAAGUUCAAUGAAGCUAGGAAACGCUACAAACAAGAACCAAGGGAGAAAAACAACAAAGAGGUAUGAAGGGUUAAGAAAGGGAAGGAGAAGAAUGAAUGGAGAGUGAUCAAAGAAAAGCAAUCCUACGCGGGUGCAGUGAAAAAAUCUUCAAAAGGAGUAUGGAAGGUUCCUAUUAUUGAAACCAAGCAACAAGUCCUACCUUGGAUGUCUAAUAGUGCAAUGAGGCAUAUAUUAACAAAUUUAAGCUAUAAUCAGUUGUGUGAAGAAUUCAUCAUGGGGGGAUGAAUAUGGUUAAAGUGAGGUACUUGGGUGAUAAUCUGACUGUGUUAACUCCUAGAGAAGGGGAACAGAUGGAAGAUCUUAUCAUGUUUAACAAAGAAUGGUUUGAAAAUGUUUUUGAGGUUAUUGAGCCAUGGUGAGAUUCACACGUAGCAGGCCAUAAAAUUGUUUGGGUUAGAUGCUAUGGGCUCCCUAUAUCUCUGUGGAACAAAUAUUACUUCUCUAAAGUGGUAGGUGAGGUAGUUUCCUUAGUGUUUAUUGAUAAGGCAACAAAAUCAUGGGAUAACCUUGAGUAUGCAAGACUCCAACUGCGUCUCCUUAAGUCGUGCUCUAUCAGCUUAGCUAAGGGGAUGAAGAUCAAUGGCCAUGUAUAUAACAUUUGCAUUGAAGAGGAGCACCCUAAUUUUGUUGAAGGUAAAUGUAAGUGCACGUUUAAUCACUAUGCUUCAUUAGGUAGUAUAACGUUAUCAGAGUCCUUUGUGGAGGAAACCUAGUUUUCGGAAAAGAAUGUUGAUGAAGAUGUCAGGAAAGGGGGAGGGGAGUUGCGGUGGCCAGAGGACUCGAUGAGAGGUGGGAAUGUCAACAUCCCGCAUAAGACAAACUUGUUGUAUGUUGAGGAAUUGUGUGUGCAUGAUAAAAAUGGGCAGGAGAAAGGUGGUAGUUCUUACACAAAUAAGGUAAAGGGGAAGCAGACAAAAUGUGUAGGGGACUCAACUUUAUGUGUCCUAUAUGGUCAAUGUUGCAUGCAAAAGCAACUUUGUCCAAGUAGCCUUGACCAAUCUUCUUGUAGUUGUGGAGGCCUUUAACAGUAGCAAGUCCAAUAAGAAUGUGGCCCAAAGGCUGCGUAGAGGCCUAUUCGGGGAGAGGUGUAGAGGCCCAAUUUUGGGACGACGACCCAUGUUAUGUAGAGGGUGGGCACGUAGAAUCAAUGGUUGGUCUAGUACGUGAGGAGGGCGUAUGGGCCAUUGGGAGCGAAACCGUGACAACCACUUUGAACGACAGUGAGAAAGGGAGUUCGUUCGUGGAAGCUAGCGACGAUAGUGAGAAUGGAGAAAAUCUGUUCAUGGAAAACAGUAGUGCUAUAGAGAGGGGAGAAAAUAUGUUUGUGGAAACCAGUAGCGCUAUCGAGAAUGGAGAAACACAUUACACACCCAUCAAUAGUAGCGCGUGCUCCGCCCAGGUGGGCAACUCGCACAUAGAGGAAGGUCCCCGAACCAGUCUCAUUAACAAAGGCAUCAGGGACGAAGUAGGUAUUCAGAUUCAGAGCAUUGAUGACCACGAAAAACAAUCCUUAGUGUUCGAUGAUGAAGAAGAUGAUAAGGGGGAUAAUUUUGUUACCCCGCCACGACACCGACGUCAGAAGGGUUGUGGGAGUUGGGAGAAUCAAGCAGGAUGCCUCGGGGGAAGUCUAGAAUUGGAGCGGGAAGUCUUUAUGUAGGGAUUUUCUCAGAUUCAAGGGUUAGUACAAAUUCUAACACCUUAUCUGGCGACAAUAUUGUUAAUUGUAACAGUAGAUUUCAGAUUUUUGGAAAUAUUGAUGAACCUAUAUAUCAAUUUUUGGGAGGUAGGAAAACAGUUAGGGGUCUCAUGUUGUGGGUAUGAGGAUGAUGUGGUCAAGGAAAUAGAAAGAAGGGAAGCAAGAGAUUUGGAGGUUAUGAAAAAGUACGAGGAGAGAAAUAAGGGGAGUUUCUUAUGAUUAUUGUGAAUCUGAAUAUAAGAGGUCUUGGGGAGGGAGGGUACUAAGGCUAAAUAUAUGAAAAAUAUUAUAGCCAACGAGAGUGCGAAUGUGUUGUGCUUACAAGAAACAAAAACAGUUGCGUUCUCAGAAGCUAGGUGUUUUUUGCUAUUGAGGAUAAUAAUGUGGGAUGGUUACAUAAUGAAGGUAUAAGUGGUGAUGGGAGUUUGCUAAUUACGUGGCAUAAAGAAGCGUUUCGUUGUGAUAGUCAUGUGGAGGUAGGGGCUUCAUUUAUAUUUUUGGUAAGCAUAUCAUAUCUAAAAUAAAAUGUGUGGGGAUCAAUGUGUAUGCAACGUGCAAUCUGAAUGACAAAGUGACCUUAUGGGAGGAAUUGACAACCAUUAAAAAUGCAAAUAAGAACUUGGCAUGGUGUCUUUGUGGCGAUUUUAAUGCUGUAAGAUGUGAAAAUGAAAGGAAAGCUAAAAGUGAAAGGGGCAACCAAAACAAUGAGAUCACUGGCUUUAACCAUUUUAUCGAAAGGAAUUUCCUGGUGGAAUUGCCAAUUGUGGGUAAGAAGUAUACUUGGUACAAGGAAAAUGGUACAACAAAAAGCAGACUAGAUAAAGUGCUUUUGUCUGACGUUUGGUUACGGAAAUGGCCAAUGGACAAACAAUAUGUACAACCAAGAGAGGUGUUAGAUCACUGUGCCAUAGUGGUGAAAUGUUUGGCCAAAGAUUAGGGUCCUAGACCCUUCAGGACUAUUGAUUCUUAGCAGAUGGAGUAUGGAUUCAAGGAUAUGGUGAGAGAUAAGUGGAAUUCUUACUUUGUUCAAGGCUAAAGCAUAACGAAAUUCAAAGAUACAAGCUAAAAAGUAUUAAGGCAGACCUCAAAGAGUGGAAUAGAGAUGUGUUUGAGCAUCUGGACAUAGAGAAGAACAGAAUUAUGAAGGAAAUUGAGGUUUUAGAUAUCCAAGAUGACGUCUUCGACCUCGAAGGCCACGCAAGGUUGAAGAGAAUGGACCUUACAGGUCAAUUGAGAGUGAUCAAUAAAAAGAUGAAGUCUCUCUUUAGGCAGAAAGCUAGAACUAACUGGUUUGUGCAUGGAGACUCUAAUUCUAAAUUCUACCACUCCGUAAUUAGAUGGAGAAGACUUAGAAAUGAGGUAAAAGGUGUCCUUGUGGGGAUCAAUGGUGUGAGCAACCUGAGGUUGUUCGAAGGGAAGCAAAAACUAUGUUUGAGGAUAGAUUUGUGGCUACACAUGAUUUUGGGGUUUAGGGUUUAACAAAGACAAUCAAGAAAAAGGCACACAAAAAGAAUCUAAGAUACUUACUAAACUUUUAACAAUGAAACUUUCUUUAGAAAUUGUUAAAGCAAAAGGAUAAAAAUUCCACAAUGUUAAAAUCAAUUUGUCAAUCAAAAUGGACCCACUAUUUUGAAAUGUUGCUAUUUUGAAAAGGUUGGAACCAAUAGACUUGCACAACUUCUCUUAUUUUUUUUUUAUACUAUUAUGGAAAUGAAAUGUCCAUAGUUUUGAUCAUGCAUAUUUUCAUAGACCUCCAAAUAUCACAAAAAGUUUGGGAUUCAAAUUAAUUGAUGACUUGAAAUCUUUUGUUUGGAACUUAAAUCUACUUCUACUAAAACAAACUUCCAAUUACUUUUAAACUUUCACAAUUAAAAGCAAAGUAAGUAGAAUCAAAAUAUAAGGACUCUUAGAACACUAAAGAACAUAUGACUCAAGACAAAAGAGGCAAGAACAAUAAAAGACAUAAAGGAACAUUCAAAAUGAGAACAAAGCCAUUGAAUAACAAUAAUGCCAAAUUGAAAAAAAGGAAAGUAAAGGACUGAAAUUAUAUGUGCUUGAAUGUAAAGACAAGAAAUUAAAGGUGUUUGAAUGUAAAGAUAAGAAAUUAAAGGUGUAAGAAAAGUAAAGUGCCAAAUCAAUUCAAAGCAAAAUAAGCUCAAGAACCUAAGCUCUGAUAACCACAUGAUGUGAGUUGAUUUUUAGAUGGUUCCAUUUUAUGGUGACACUUUUGCUUAAAGUUGGGAUUUUAGCAAUUUAUGGUGAAACCUAAGGAAGAUUCCCACUGAACACGAACUUAACCAAAUAGUUAAGUAAGUGUGAAGGUUCACUUCACAAAGGCAAAGAUGAAAAAUCAAUAUAAAAUGAUGCAAUGUGGAAUGGAAAUGGCAAUAAGGUAAGUAUCAAUGGUGGUCAUGGCCGAACCAAAUGAUGAACCAUUAGCAUAUAACAAAAGCAAAACAAAGUGUAAGAGUCCAAGAUAAAGACAUAUAUGAAAUGGAAAUGAAUUGAAAAGAGUGGAAGAAGAGUAGCUUAUGGAGUGAAUGCGAGAGUGGUUCACGUCACUUGGGGUGUGGUAGCCACCAAGAUGAGUGAAGAGCCGCCACUUGAGAGUCUCACACUACUAAAGAUAAGACCUAAUGCUAAGAGGAAACAGGCUUCAGUAACACCUCACACAAAUUGUGCAGAGUAACUUUUCUAUUUAAAUUCAACAUUAAAAAACAAGGAGUAAGGCACCCUAUUUAUAGGAAUGGGUGCAUUGGUGGACAAGAAGGGCAAGGGUAGGGUGGUAAAUGUGUGAGGGGGUUGCCUUUAGGGUUUGACUAAUUCAAAACUGCACCCUAGUCUUGUUCUUCUAGAAACUAGGUCAAAUUUCCUUCCUAAAACACUAGAAACAAGCUAAAAUGAUAACUACACCCCCUAUUAUGCUAUAGGCACCUAUUCUAGCCUAUCUUGCUAUUUUGGACCCCAAAAUGAGCCCAAAUUACUUACAUAACUUUUCUCUUGUGGAAAGGCCAAAAGGAAGAACUUCUGAUAUUCUGGUUUAUAGCUUGUUCUUCUUCUGCUGAUGCUUUCUCGAGGUUUGGUGGACCCGACUUUGUAUACUGAGAUGAUUGACCUUUUUGUGAAUUGUUUGUUGUGUCCUUAGUCCUCUACUGAUUGUUGUGGUUUGUAUCACUAGACAAUGGUGGUUCAUUGUCCAACACUUUUUUUUAAUCAACAAUAAAAAUUUAAUAAAUAGGAGUACUCAGGGUACUCCAACCCAUGUACAAAAAUCCCCUAUGCUAGAGAAAUGAGGUUUCCAGAUAAAAAUGACCAAAACAUAGCCAUAUUCUACCCAUAUAAUUCUAAUAAGCUUAAACAUCUUUAAAAACAUCUAGAUAUCAAUACAUAAAUCAAGCUAUCUAUAAAAAAAUCCAGCAAUCCAAUUCCAGAAUAUAAGCAUGUCAACUCUAAAGAAAGACUUUGCCUCCUUGCUAUCUACUGCAGUUUCCCAAGCACCCAUUAUGACUAUAGUUGUAGCCCAAGGAAAUUCCUCUCAUGCAAACCGAGAAUCCAGCAAAAAAAGUAGAGAAAAUGUGUUAAUCAUCAAUGUAGUGAUUUUAAACUUUCAUAUACAUUAAUACACCAAUCAGAAUAAGAGAAAUUUGACUUUGGAAAUUUAUAACUUACCCAUGCCCACGCUUUUACUUGGACCAAAGCAAUUUUUUUAACAGGAUCCACCAUUGCAUUAUUGAAAAUUAUCCUAUUCCUAUGGUUCCAAAUUCCUCAAAUAAUGGAAAUCCACAUACAUUUCCAGACACAAUUUCCCAAGUAGUUUAAACCUGUAAAACCUAUUUGUUUGUUGAGUAACAUUAUCACAAUGUACAAAAGUUCUACCAGCCCAAGCAUCAGAGAUAUACCACACUUUAGAAGUCACUUUAUAUGUGAAAAAAAGAUGAUUUACUGUUUCAAGCUCAGACCACACAUGGCACACAUCCCCUCUCCAACCUUAAUUCCUCUAUGUAUUAAAUUAUCAUAUGUUGCAAUUUUACCAAUUAAAACACGUCAGGCAAAGUAAUGUGCUUAUGGAAGAGCUUUUAGGCUAAAAAAAGAAUCAAAAUUGAAUGCAGAGAAUGAAUGUGGCUGCAAAAUAUUUUGGUGGCAAAGAAUUUUAUAAGCUGAGUUAACAAUAAAAGAAUUUGAGGUAUCACCUACCCACAUCCACUCAUCAUUUUUACAAGCAUAUAUUUUAAUAGUCUUCAAUUCAUCCAUAAAUUCAUUUAUAAUUUCAGUUUCCCAUUAAAACUACUAUUUUCUCCAUUCUAUUUGCCAUACCCAUUGGUUUUCAUGUCAUACCCUACAGAACCUUCUUUAAGCACUGAGUUUUAAAAAAUUAUGGGAUUUCUAUUUUUCAGAGUAUCAUUUCCUAUCCAAUAAUCUGUCCAAAACAGAAUAUUACUCCCUGCACCGACCUUCCACCUUCUCUGGUUAUCAAACUAACAAUUUGAGUUUCCUCCACACACCUUCUUGAUAUCUCUCCACCACCAAGAUUUAGUAUUUGACACAACACUAUCAUCCAACCCUCUCCAAGAACCAUAUUAAGAUUACGGGUGGCAAAGCGGCCCGCCCGCCCCGCAUAGGCCCGCGGGCUGGCUUGCAUUUUUGUUUUGAAACAUGGAGGAGAAGUGGAGGCAGCAACGGUGCGGUAGCAGUGAUGUGCGGCAACAACAGUGUGCAGUAGCGCGACAGUUGCAGGCGAAGCCGCACGGAGUUGCAAGUGGAGCGAGCGAAGUCGCAGGUGGAGCGAGCGACGACACUGCAACAGAGAGUGCGUCGUGUACAUUUUUUGGAACAACAUAGUUGCGUUGUGUUUUGAGUGAAAACCUAAUUUUCUUUCACUCAAAGUUGCAUCUCUUCCACGGACCAUUGCUGCCAAGUCAAUUUUUUUUUUUUUUAGCGAGCUAGCAGGCCAGCCCGCCUUGCCCCACUGCUGGCCCAUCCCACUUUGCCACCCCUAAUUUAGAUUCCAAUACCGGUUUCCAAAGUCCUUAUUUUUCACAACCAAGUCCCCAUUAUCAUUUCCCAAGAAGAACAAUAUUAAACAAAUUUACAUCCUUAAUUCAUAGUCCUCCUUCCGAUUUGGAUUGACAUAGGAAGUCCCACUUGAUCCAGGCUAUCUUCCUUUUAUCACUUCCCCAUCCCCAUAAAAAAUCCCUUUGUAAUCUUGUGAUUAAUUUCGCAACUGCCAUAGACAUUUUGAACAGAGAUAAGUAAUAUAAAGCGACAGCUGAAACAUGACAGAUUUUAUCAAAAUAACUCUUCCAGCAAAAUAUAAAUGUUUUCCAUUCCAACUAGAAAGCUUAGUUUUAAUAUUUGAUUUCAUGUCUUUCCAAAACACUUUUUUUCCUAUUAUUAUCUCCCACAAGACAUUGUCCUGCACUUGAUAAUUCAAGUGACGUUAAUCUGCCGACGAGGGAGCAUUAGAGUUGGAAUCCAGCGGCUUGCUCUCUGUGCAAUUGGGGGUAUGGCAGCAAGCCUACUGUGGAGGGGUUGCAAGCCAAGUUUAGACUAUGGUAUCUUACAGUAUAGGAGAUUGGGAACAACCAUUUUUUCUAUCUUCUAUUGUCUAUUUAUAUCAAUACUACAAUCCCUCUUUAGGAAUUUGUUUGACUUGGCUCUAUGCAGGUUAAUUGCUAGGAAAUUUAGUGGCUGCUGGUGUUUUUUUUUAUGCAGAACCAUCUGUUUGCUAAGUUGUGUUAAGCUUUUCUAAGUCGUGGUAGAUUUGUUCCCGUAUGGCGUGGAAGAAUGUUUUUUGGUUUGACUAGGAGAAAACGUUUUGGUUAUCGUAUAAGAGUUUGAACACUAUAAAGUCUUCAUUAAAUUCAAUUAUUCUUUGUUAUAAAAAAAUUGGAAAAACUAAAUCUGUAUGGAAAAUCUCAUAUUCCACAUACUGAUAUAUAUAAUGAAUGUGCAGUCAUCAUAUUUUUGAAAAUUUAGAAUAUAUAUAUAUAUUUUAGAAUAUUUGAAAGAUGUUUUAAUUCAUAUAUAAAAUAUUAAAAAUUUAAAUAAAUCUUAUUUAAAAAAUUACGAGAAAAUAUAUAUAUUUAAAAUUUGUCCAACAUAACAUAUAAAAUAACUAUCAACACAACACUGCAUCCUAAAAGGCGGAAGCCUUAAAUUUUCAUUUCUCGCAAAAAUCUGUAUUUGCACCUGAAACAAAGCCCCACCCCACGACACUAACGCAUUAGUAACAUGUAUAUGAUCAUUUGAAAUGUUAUUGAUCGAAACUUAACAUUAUAAAAACAUUUGAUUUUGAUAACGUGUGGAAUAAGGAUUUGUUCGAAAUUGGAGUUUGGUUUGGUGUGAAAGAAUUAUCCGAAAAAAGAAAAAUGGAGAGGAAAGUGGUAGAGUAUAUAAAGACGAAAUGAGAUGAGUGGGUUUGAUAGUCACGGACGAGUGAUUCCCAUAUGAGGAGGCAAAUGACAUGAGGUGCGACAAAAGUGUCACAAUAUCUUUACUAAUAAUUACAAUAACGAACAUUUCAGAGACUAUACUGUCUCUGUUGGAUGCAGAGCACUGUGCCCAGCCAUCACACCUUUAUUCAUUUACUUAACGCCAUAAAGAUCUUUCACCAAAUGAAUAAUGACGUGAGACCUAACCCUAAUUGUGAGCAACCACGGCACUGCCCUACAGUGCAUGCUAACAUGCAAACAGUUCAGAGAGAGAAGAACUCCAUAAGAAUGUGAGUUUCAAAAGUGGUCAACAUGCUCAGGAAUAUUUCAAAAUGAUAGGCUAAAAAGGCUCAUCUUUAAGCAAAGGAAUGUCAACAAAAGCACAUCAAAAUGUGAACGGCGUUUAUCAAGUUUUGUAGUGCUGCUAAUGGAGUUAGUAACCAUUUUUUUUAAUUAAUAAUAUUGUUAAAUAAGUAUUUUCAUAUAUAUAUAUAUAUAUAUAUAUAUAAAAUUAUGAUAUAAGCACAUGUCUCUUUUUUAAAAAAAGAAAGUAGUUUGGUGUCUGAUAAAUAAUAAUUUAAAUGUAAAAAAUCGUAAUUAUAUUUUUGAUUUGUAUGCUGUCAUGCACGUUUAUACUAGUCUUGGUAUCUUAUGUGAUGGUCUUUUAAUAAGAUUUUUCUUGAAAAGUAAGGAAUUAGGUGUAUGAAAUACAAAAUUGGUACUGCUUUAUUUUUAAGUUUUGUGUAGCUGUAGUGGGUAUGGUAUAUGUUAAUUAUAGCUAGAAAACAAUGGUGAAAUUGAAAGGAAACCAGGGUUUGUCGUUUCCAUUGGAAUAUAUCGAAUACGUGAAGAUGCUGAGCAAGAGAGUCAGCAUCCUCGUCUGUUGAGCAUUGUGCACAACCUGGCUGGCUUUACCGUAUUUACUUUUCUAUCUCAAACUAAACUUUAUCAUGAAAUUCAAUGAAACAGUAAAUUUAUUCAGAUGUCUAUCACUGUCAAAGUGAGAGAGUACUGAAGAGAAAGGGAUCGAUGUACUCAAGAAAAACAUAAGAGUUGCAAUUUAUAGAAUCGAAAUCAUAGUUAAUAGACCAAUUAGACUUCUUUUCAUAACAAAAUAACCUUAAAGCAGUUUUAAAUAAGUUCAUACAUACGUAACAAGCUAUUUCUUUAAUGUUUUUUCAUUGUGCCUAAUCUUUUCCUUAUUACAACGUUGACUUUCCAAAAUGAUGAUUUGGCUAUGCUGCUGCCUUCAGGUCAGGGUCCAAAGAACUCAGUACCCAUGACACGUUGUUGUUGUUGUAGUUGUUCUCUCUGUGAAAAUCCACCAUUCAUAUUUCUAACCAUUCCUCCAACACCCAAAAAGUCUAAGGUCAACUUAUCAGAACCUCCAAAGUUUACAUUAUUAAGAUUCUGGGGCAACUUAUGGUUGGACUCGUCGACGUUGUGAAACCCAGAAAGGUUGUUUUCAUUCCCUUGCAUGUUCCUAAACAAGGACGUGUUUCCAUUAGCAAUAGAGUUCAUCAACCCUUGAAGAUUGUGGUGGUGGUGGUGACCAUUUUCAGCUUUGGAACCAUUGCUAGACAUUCCUCUAAGUAAAGAAGAACCGCUGGUGGUUGUGGUUGAACCCAUUUGAGAGGCUUUUUGAAGCAACACAGUGGCAGACAUAUGAGGGGAUGAUACGUUUUCUAUUGAAUCACCAAAGAGCGAAGAAAAACUUGAACCCACAUGAUCACUUACUGCAGGGUUGUUAUUAACAAAGAGUGGUGGUGGUGUUGUUCCUUGGUCACUACCACUUAUGUUGUUGAAUUGAUCAGGGAUAAUGGUGCUAGUGCUAUUGCUACUUGGGAAGAAGCUGAGGUUGAAGAGAUUGGAAUUAGGAGCAGCAACUGAUGAAGAAUUGGAGUUGUUAGUGUUGCCAUCAAGAGCAGUGAGCUGCAUUAGGCCAUGUAGUUGCUUGUUUGAGAAUAGUUGUCCUUGUUGUGAUUGGUGUUCUUCAAAUAAUGUUUGAUUGGUGUUGUUAUUCAUGAAGAAAGCUGAGGAAGGCAUUGAUUGUGGUGAGUGUCCAAAUGAAGACUGAUUUAGAGGUGGAAUCAAGUGCUCAAACUUAAGAGCUGCACCAAUGUUAGUGACUGUUUGGUUCUGAUUUUGAACUUGGGAAAGUUGGGUACCCACUUGGGAUAGGGUUAAACUAGUGUGGUUUGUGCCAAACAAAUGAGUUCCCAAAGGAUUUGAGCUACUGGGGUAUCUUGCACUCUCAUGUGCUAAUGCAUCACAGAACGCCCUAUGAGUGAUGAAACUGUCACGCCUGCAUCAAAAAUAUAAUAAAAGGUAUACAUAAAUUGACCACAUCUUCCAUUAUAGAAACUGACAAAGGUGAAUUUAUUACGUCGAGUAUUAAGUAAGACUUAAAAUUAUAUUAUUAGUAUGCUCCAGUAAGAAUACAAUAUAAUAAUCAAAAUGUUCCUAAUCAGCUCAAUAACAACUAUUAUGCCACCACAUCAACACAUAAAAUUCUUGAACCAAACCAUAUAUUAAUUUUAAUAACGUAUAUAGGUAACCUAACACCGUCCAACCUAAAGAAUUUUGGAACUGUAGAAGUUCAAGAUAUAUAUAUAUAUAUAUAUAUAUAUAUCAAUUAUUUAACCAACCAAUUCCAAAGGUAUAGUCAAAUAUAAAAUAAAAAAUAAAAUAGGAAAUGUUUUUUUCUUUGUAAUUGGAACUGCAAUUUUGAAAAUAAAACUCUAAUGGAAACAGAGGGCCCAGGGGAUCAUUAUACCAAAAGAUGAUACACACAAGAAAUCCAAAUCUAACUGCCACUUUAAGGUCUCUCAUUAAUCAAUAAAAGAGAAUUAUUUUCAGCUUCUGAUGAAAGUCAAUUAUCAUAAGACCAAAGAUGGGGCCAGUUCAAUAAAUGCAAACAACCUCAAUACUUGUCUAUUUUCUACGACGAGAAUUCAUUUCAAAGCAAUGGUAGAAUACAAAAAUUGCUGAUAUAGAAGUGGCGAAUUAAUGGUGAGAAUUUGUUUAGCAAUGAAUAAAGAAAUAAUGGGAAGUGGUGACAAUUAUGCAGCUCGGACCCAUUGCAAGAAGAUAAGUGUAUUUAUAUAUGAACCGAGCCAAGCCGAAAGAGAACAAAAGCCAGCAUCUCCAACUCAUGUGAGAACAAACCCAGUAUCACUAUGCCUGUUGCCUUUGCAGAGUUGCUUAACUGCACGUGAAUGGGAAUAAGGGUGGGGGCACAGUUCCCGAGGACCAAAGUUGAACUUGCUUGUUUUUCUUCCCAAAGCAUGUCAAUUUUGGUACCCCAUUUCAACAGUCUACUCACGUGCGAGCAGUCUCCUGCCAUGCCUCCACUAACACCCAAGGAAAUGAAUGGAGAAAGCUCUAGUUCACAUUUAACUUCUGUUUCGACUAUUUACUCAAUUUUUUCAAACUAGCGACACCUUCUUAGGUUGCGUUUAGAAAUGCUUAUAAUAAAAAUGCAUCAAGCUUAAAAGCUUUUACUAGUGUGAAAAAUUCAAAACCCACCAAAGAGUAUGAGAAACCCUAAUUUUUCAUAAACUGGAUGGUGUGUGUGUAUUAUAUACACAUUUGAAGAAUGUAUAAAGUGCAGUGGAAACUAAGAUAAAAUGGGUUGUUACCUAGAGAAGAGAGUGCCACAGUCACAUCUGUACUCUCUAGUGCCACAAGUCUUUGAAUGUGCUUUCCAAUCAGAUUGAACAGCAUAUUUCUUUGAGCACUUUUCACACUUCCACUUCUUCUCACCAUGCUUGCGAGAGUAGUGCUUCUUGAUUCCAGUGAGGUCUCCCAAAGCCCUUGAAGGAUCAUGAUGGACGCAGGUGGGCUCGGGACAAAGAUAAACCUUUCUUUUUUGCUCUUUUGUACUCUUCUGCUUUAGCUUCCAAGGAAGGUUGUGUCCUCUUCUGUGAAGCUGUAGGUUUUGCUCCCUUUGAAAUCCUUUAUUGCACACCUCACAUAUAAACCUGUUUGUUGCCAUUAGGGUCUUGGGAGAUAGUUUUAUCACCUCCGCGUCUGGAUCUUUUACCCCCACAAAAAUGACAAACAACAAAUUAUUAAAAAACUCUCAUGCUUCAAUCACUUGCUCAAAUUGAAUACGCACAAGAAACAGAAGAAUAAUCUUUCUUUUUUGACCUUGUUUUAGAACCACGUAGGAAUUUCAAUAGUAAUGAUAAAAAAAAAAAUACAAAUUUACGAAGAUUAUUAAAAAAUUUAAACCAGAAGUUUCAUGCUUUUGAGAUUCUUAGAGAAAAGCAAUCCAACCAUGAACUGAAUGUCUCUACAGUAAAUUAAAGAAGUCAAUAGCCCUAAAUCACGAAUAGGGUUUCGUCGUGUUUGUUAUUGAGAAAAUGAAAGAAGUGAAACAAAAUUGCAAAGGAUGUGUAUAUGUGUGUGGUUUAAGCAAUCAAAUUUAACUAAGCUACUUGCUUGGGGUUCCAGGUUGAUUCCUCCGUUUCUUUUGAGGAACUGUGAUUGGAGCAACUGUGGAGGGUUGAUGGUGUGUUGUAAUCUGAGGGCUUUCUUCUCUGGUUCCCGAGAAUGGAGUGGAUGAGGAAGCUGCCGCCAUAACUGUUGUGCAAAUCUGGAACUAAUAUCUGAACCAAAAGUAAACACCUAUCAAAUAUCCGAAUAUCCUUCUGCUGAAAGGAAAAAAAAAACCUCAAUUGCAUGUUUUCUUGUCCCUUGGAAAGAAUAAACAAAAAGAAAGGGAAAAAGAAACUACAACAGAAUGAAGAAAAAAAAAAAGACCUGAAGUAUGUUUGAUUUUUUCCCUGCUUUCUUUGUCUGUCAGGAAAAAAGAAAAAAAAUAGAAACUGAGAGAUUAAAUCACAAAAGAUACCGAGAGGAAAGUAUCUUAGGAGACAGAAGCAAACAGGAGACGAAGAGAAGAAAACAAUUCACUCUGAAUACCUACUUAUCUUCUGGCUAUUGUUUUCUUAUCAUAAAAUUUAGCUACUACUACUCCCUCUUGUUAUUUCUCAAUCAUUUGGUGUCAUCUAGACAGAAGAAUAAUAAUAAUAGUUAAUAACAUGCUAGCUUGUCCUCCAAAAGGCAUAUAUAAAUCAACUCAUAUGUAUCUCUUUUGAUCUCUGUGUCUCUUCUUUUCCCCUCUUCUCCUCAUGGUUGUGCAUUUUGUAAGGAGGAAUAAUUAAGGGUGGUAAAGUUGCCAGCGAAGUGAGGGAGGUAAUUUAUGUCACUGUUAUACUGCUCCUGCACGGGCUACUGUGUCCUUAGCAGAUGAUGGUCUGGGGCCACCGACCCUUUUAGCUCUCACACUCACCUUAUCUCUCCUUCUCUUCUUUCCUAUCUUUUUACCAACAACCAUACAACUUUCCUCAUUUUUUACCCAACAACUAAUUGGUUUAUGCAUUAUUAUAACUAUUGUUAAUUAUUACCAUGUCUACAAUACUUUCUUUAGCAUGGUUUUUAUCAGAUACAACUUUCCACUGUUAUUCGAUUAUAUAUGGUUACUAUAAACUGACAUAAAAGUUCUAGGAUUAGUUGGUAAAAAAUAUUUUCAAUCAAAAUCUUGUGGUAAUUUACGGACAAAGUACUUCGAACUCUUACACCUAAUCGUGAUAACUCAGUAGACAGAGAGCUUGCUGGUAGAUGAUGACAAUAUUUGGGUUUAUCUCCUAUUUUAUAAUAAUUGUAAUGGUAGUUUGAACUGUUUGCUUGAAGAUAUUUGCUUGGAAAAAUGUUAUCAGUUUGUAACCACCUUGGUAAACAGGGAUAAACAGGGAUUUUUGAAAUGAUGUUUGCAUUGACAAUGCUAGUUUGAAACAUUCUUUACCAUGCUUGUACCAAGUCUAUGUUGAAAUAGCUGCUUCGCGUGUAGAUGAAAGGGGAGUAUGGUAUGAUAAGAUUUGGUUCUGGAGAUCAAUUUGUCGGUCAAAAUCUAAUGCUAUAUCAGAAAAGCCAAGGCAAAUUUGUACGUAACACCGAAGUGAAAGCUACAAAGAUCAAACCAAAAUAUUUGCAUCUCUGCACUUAUUGGAAGAUGCUAAAGUUGCGUCCACAAAAAAAAUCUACGAACCCUUUGAAGCUCAAUUUUAUAAAAUGUGGUCGACACUACCUCUACAAUAUCACAAGGACGAGAAAGUUAGGAGGGUUGAGGGGAAAGUAUAAAAUUUUGAGUUCAUUUAAUAAAUAUAUAACAUUACUUUUUAUGUUAAAUAUUCAUAAUUGUGUGUUUUUUUAAAUGAUAAAAAAUAAUAUAAAAAAUAGGAUUGUAUGAUAAUUAUUAUCUAUAGAGUAAUUUAAAUAUAAUUAUUUUAGAUCUCUUUUUUAAUUUUAGUUGUGUUAAUUUAAUUUACUUUUGAAUAAAAUUGUUCUUUAUGUUUAAAUUUAGUUUUAAUUUCAUGUUAUAUACUUUAUCUUUGUUUUUUUUAGUUCUGAAGGAUAAAAGUUGUAAGAAGACGUUAUCGUGAACAUUAAAAUAGAGAAAAUGAAGUUUCCUAUUUAGAUUUACGCGAUAAAAAUUUACAAGAAGAAUUUGUAUAUAUGCACUUUAAGCCACCCAUUUUGUAGGCAUUUUAAGCCAAACUUGAGAGGAAAGUAGUGCUUAAAUAGUUUAUUUUGGACAGCCUAAGAAGUUCCAUCUGAAGUCCACUAUGGCAGAGGUUGAGUGUCUAUAAAAGACAAAAAAAAAAAUAGAACCUUAUUUUCAUACAAUUAUACACUUUGAGACAUACUUGGAGACACGGAAAAAUUCUUCUCCUUUUGAAGGAUUAUUUCUCUAUAAUUGAUAAGAAGUAGCUAAGUUUUCUUUCUUUCGUAGAAGCUUAAUACACUUGAAUCUACAUGUAAUUGUUAUGUUUUUUUUUUUAUUUAUGUAGUAGCUAUUAUUUUUUUUAAUGUUCAGUUAUAACUGAUAAAUUGGAGUAAUGGUAUGAUUUUAUAAUUUUUAUUAUAAUUCAAAAUAAGUCAAAGAUUGGUAGUAGAAUCAAUUAUAUAAUCAUUAAAUAAAAACUAAUUUUAUAGUAAAAAAAUAAUUAGUUACUAUAUUGACUAUAUUAAAUAUUAUUUUAGAUAUUAAAAAAAUUAUUAGUAUCUAAAAUAAUUUCUAUUAUUAAUAAAAUUUAAAACUAGUUUCAAAUUGAUAUAUUUUCCGACCUCAAGUCUAUUAAGAUAAUAUCACUAGGAUCAAUCACCACAUCUGAGAUAUUUGGAGCUCGAAGUUCCAUUACAUUUUUUUUUUCUUAAAAGGCCUCUAAGAAGUUUAAAGCACUAGUGCAAAUAAUGCUUUUUACAACAACAUAUUUGGUUGGUUAAGAAAGAACCGGUGUAAAGAAAAAUACGGUGACAUUUUUGUAAAUAUUGUGCAUAUAUUACAUUGGUUGUUACUCCUAAUCGGUGUAAUAUGUGUUGAUUUUGAGUAAUUUUUUUUAAAAAAAUUACAUUUUUACAGUGAUAUAUUAAAUCGGUUGUUAGGUCCAAGCGGUUAAUAUGUAUUGAUUUUGAGUGUAAAAAAAUUAUUUAAAAAUUACAUUUUUCUAGUGACGUAUUACAUUGGUUGUGAGGUCCAACCGAUGUAAUAUGUAUUGAUUUCGAGUGUAAAAAAAUGUUUAAAAAACUACAUUUUUUGGGAUGAUAUAUUACAUCGGUUGGGAGAUCCAAUCGAUGUAAUAUGUAUUGAUUUGUCUUUUAAAUGUAUAAAUUUUAAAAGGUAAGUGAUGUUAGGGGCAUUUAUUACAUCGAUUAUUACUAAGAAUUGAUGUAAUAUAUGCAUUCACCUUGUUUUUUUUUUUUCUUGUGCACUCACUGCUCAUUUUGCAUUUGAAGUUUGUUUGCUGAGUGUAAGACGUCUGAGCCACUGCCACCAUUGCCUUUGUUACCACUAUUUUUGUUGCCAUCGCUCACGCUCCCUUUGUUGUCACUACCAUCGCUUCUCGUUGUCGCCACUGUUUGUUGUGCCCUUGUUCACUGCCACCGAGAGUUGUGUUUCAUUGUCGCCAUUGUUCGCGCUAAUGUCGUCAUUCGCUGCUACCAUCAUUCAUCUAGCCACCAUUGAAAACUUCUGGUCCUGCCACGUUAAGGUAAGUUUUAAAUAUUUUUAUUAUAAUUUAUUAUUUUAUUUAGAAAUAAAAUUUUAAUUUAUAUAGAAAAUUAGUUUUAAUAUAAUAUAUUAUGUUUGGAAUAUAAUGUAUAUUUUUUUAAAAAAAAUUAAUUUGUUGUUGUUAAUUGUUAUAUGUUGAACGCUUUGAUAUUAGGUUUGGCGGUGUUCGACCCUCGACAAUGUGUACUGUGUUUUAUAAUACAUCGACUAAAAAGUGGGAGAGAUUGAUGGAUAAACCAAGUGCUUUUAUUACAUAGUAAUGGAUUGAAGUUGGAUAAGUGAUUCUACACUUUUCUCAAUGAAAUGUAGAAGCUAUAAAUGGAAGAUAUUAUUAUCCAUGUGUUAAUUGUUUGAAUGGGAGACUAUAAGAAAUUAAGUUGAUACGAGAACAUGUUGUGAUGGUUUCUUGAAGAGUUAUAUAACGUGGAUAUGACAUAGUGAAUUUGUAGACAUAACACCUCUAUUUAAAUUUCAAUAUUCUAAUAUACACUUUGAAGAUUGCAUGGAGGACAUGAUUCAUGAUAUUUGAGAAGAUAGUUUCCGACAAGCACAUAUGUGUGAUUCAUUGAAAGAUGAUUCAAAACCAUCUCUAUAUCUUGGUUGUUCAAGUUUCACAUGUUUGUCUUAUUAAAAUUAAUUAAUAUUAAGGCAAAAAAUAGGAAGAUCGAUAAAAGCUUCACUAAAUUAUUGGAGUUGUUGCAUGAAAUGCUUCCAAAAGGUAAUACAUUGUCGACCCUUCAUAUGAGGUGAAGAAGAUAUUGGGUCUGAUGGGUACGGAGUACUAGAAAAUACAUGCAUGUCCUAAUGAUUGUAUUUUGUAUAGAAAAAAAGGUUUGAAUCAUUGUAUAGGUGUCCAAGAUGCAGGAUAUCAUGAUACAAAGUGAAAAAUGAUGACAGUGAGGAAGAUGAUGUGAAAAAGGGUCCUCCUAAGAAAGUAUUAUGAUAUCUUCCAAUCAUACCGCGAUUUAAACGUUUGUUUCCCAAUAUUAAUGAUGCAAAAAAUGUCACAUGGCAUGCAAAUGGAAAAAAAAUGUUAGGUUGUUACGACAUGUUGUCGAUUCACCACAAUGUUAAUAAAAUCAAGAGUAGAAUGGAAAUAUGUAAAAUGAGAUUUUUGUUGUUGGCGGGUAGAGUAUGCUUACUAAAGUCUAUCAUUUCCUCUUGACCCCAAUACUACAUAUCUUUUUAUAAAAUUCCAGCUAUUAUAAGACAUCAAAUUAGAACUAUCCAGAGGAAUUUUUUAUAGAGGAGGUGAAACAAAGGAAGAAAUAUAUCAUGGUUAAAAUGGGUGGACAUAUGUAAACCAAAGGAAGAGGGAGGCUUGGAACUUAAAGAUGUCAAAUUGUUUAAUGUAACAUUGUUGUCUAAGUGAAAAUGGAGGUUAGGGUAACCACAAAGGACUGUGGAAGAAUAUUUUAGAAUUUAAGUAUGGCUUUUGAGGAACUUGAAUGUUAAUGGAAACGUCACUUACGAGUUAUGGCGGUGGAGGGACCUAAGAGGGGUUUGUGGGAAGGCAUAAAAGGGGAAUGGUUUGUGAUAAAUGCUAGAUUUCAGUAAUACUUUAUAUUAAAAUACAUGCACUUGUGGAUAUUAAUUGAUAAAAUAACCACAAUAUAACCCCUAAUUCAUGAACUAAAACCUUUUUACAUAUUUUCUAAUUAUAAUUUGAAUAAGAACGAUUUAUUCCCAAAUUUGUGUUAAUUUCAGGAUUUUAGGAAAGAAUGAAGAUGAAAGGGUAAAAGGAUAAUAUACAAAGCUAAAAAGGGAAAGUUGGAAUGCACCAACACUUACCCUAGAGGAGACAGCUGUCAAGGAGAAACAUCCUGAAUCUUCUUUUCAUGCUUUCCAUGCUUGUAAUAGCCAACAUGAGUGGCUAAUUCUACCAUUUGGGAAUGAGAGUAAUCUGUUCAAACUCUUAUGUAUUGAGGUGAUAUUUAAAUAUAAUAUUUUUUCUUGAUUGAUGAUUGCUAUUGUCAUUUUAUUUGUAAUGCUUGUUUACCAUUAUCAAGAUCCUUAGAUUUAACUGGAAAGUACUUCUAAGUUUCUAACCUAAAUGAUAAUGUUAGGAAUAGAUUUGAAAUGUUAAUUGCUAUCAACAUCUAAUCGUAAUGAUAAGAAGUUUUUAUAAAUAUGCGAGAAAUCAAUAUUUAGGAGACUUUCUUAAUAAUUUUAUGUGAGUAAUCGAUAUAAAUUACUUUUAUAUGGACAUCAACAUCAAUCAAAAGAUAAAAUAUUACUAUGCUAAUCAAAAUACAAAAGAGUAAGAAAGACGAACCUCAAUCCCAAUAUUCCCAAUUGAACUAACAAUCUCUUUGACUUCUUUCUUUUUAAUUAUUGCAAUCACAACAAACUCCCAAAAAACUUUAUUAUUUUGUUUUCUAUUUAGUGAAUCUUAUACUUGAUUAUUCAAUGUUCCUUGUGGGUUUGAUAUCCUUCCUUAAGGAUCCUCAUGAUAUCCUUCCUUAAGGAUCCUCAUGAUAUCCUUCCUUAAGGAUCCUCAUGAUAUUCUUCCUUAGCAAUUACAACAUGGUGUACUUUUCGUAAAAUAGUCAUGAAGUUUUUGGCACCAUUAUUGGAAAACAAUUGAUUUUUUAGUAUAAAUUCCUAAAUAUUAUGAAUAUUUUAAUUGCUUUUAACUUUUGUUUUAUUUCAUUUUAAUUGCAGAUUUGUGUUAUUUUAUUUCAGAUUUAUUUUAUUUUACUUUAUUUGUUUUCAAUUUUAAAUUUUUUUAAAAAAAUUACUGUUAGUGAAUCCUUGUGUUAACCCUUGAUUUAGUUGUCUUAUAUGAUAUUAAAAGGUCAAAUUCCCAAAGACCAAAUAUUAUUUGAAUCAAAGAUUGAAAAGGCAGCUAAAAGAAACAAAAAGACAAAGACAAAAGAAAGACAAGGAGACGCUAGAGAGGAAUCCUCAACCACUUCUUCCCUUCCCAUUAAUAUUUUUCAGGAGGAGAAUAAUAUGGCAUAAGAGCAGACACCACCUCCUAGGAGAACCCUUGGAGAUUAUGCCAUGGAGCAAGGGCCAAGGCAUUUUUCUAGUAUUGCAAUACCUGCUACCUCUAGGGUCUUGGAGAUGAAACCCGUUUUCCUUAGUCUUAUCAGUACCCAUCCGUUUACAACAAUGGAUCAUGAGGAUCCAUAUACACAUUUGUCUACAUUUUAUGAACUGGUGGGAAAAAUGGGCUUCCAAUCAGGUGAUCUAGAAAAUGUUUAUAUGCGUUUAUUUUCUUUUUCAUUAGCAGAAAAGGCAAAAUAAUGGCUCAAAUCACAUCCAAAUCAAAGUCUCAAUAGUUGGGAGGAUGUAGAGGAAAAAUUUCUACAAAUGUUUUUUCCAUUAUCUUGCUACAUCAAAGCAAAGUCUGAAAUAUCUAUGUUCAGACAAGGAGCAGAUAAAGCAUUUUGUGAGACAUGGGAAAGAUUUAAAAUGACGCUGAGAAAAUGUCCAAAUAAUGGGUUUGAAGACAUUGCUCAAUUGAGCAUUUUUCACAAUGGUCUCAUAUAUGAUAACAAGAUGCUUCUAAAUGUUGUAGUUGGUGGUACAAUGAUGGCAAUUGAUGCAAAAGAAGCAACAAAGAUUAUUGAGGCAAUGACAUCCACAAAUUAUCAAGCCCAAAAUGAUAGUAAAAAUGAGCCAAAGAAGGGGAUGAUGGAUCAUAAUUCUUCAAACACAUUUUUGGCUGAAAACUAAAUUCAAACACAAUAGUUGGAAGCAUUAACUGCACAAAUGGCUAAAUUGCCACAACAAUUACAAGUUGUGCAAGCUUAUUAGAGUCAGAGUCAAUCAAUAAAGUGUGAUUUUUGUAGAGGUGAUCAUUCCAAUGGGCAUUGUACUUAUCAGAAUAAUUCAUCUGAAGAAGAAGCUCAUUAUAUGGAAAUAAAGGAGGUAAGGUGGGUUCUCCAACAAAAAUACUCAAGGUUGGAGAAGCAAGCAAAAUCAAAGUUUUAAGCAACAACAACAACCAUUAUAUCCUUCAUCCCAAGAGAGAGAAAAGCAAACUGGAGGAUACCUUGGAGAAACUGCCCAAUAAAGGAGCUUUGACAUUGUUGUUCAAAGUUUGAAGACACAAAUGGGACAAAUUGCACAACAGUUGAAGAAAUCCAAGGAGCAAUGUAAGUCAGUCACUACUAGAAGUGGAAUAGUUAUAGGAAAGGGGAUUGGUGAUAAUUUGAUUGUUGAAAUAAAGGAAAUAAUGGAAUUAGUGGCUCGUUUUUAUGUUGGAUGUUCAAACUUGUUGUAGGAUCACACCUCUCAAGUUGUUUUGCUAAGGGGAUAAAGGGAUUUUUAGGGCUAAAUAUGUUUACAGAGAGAGGAUCUCUUGGUUCAAUAUUGUAAAGAAUUCCCGCUACAUCAAAUAUUGGAGACAAGAUUUGUUGAUCCAUUGUAAGGAAUUUUUGUUACCUCAAACUUUGGAGACAACAUUUGGGUUGAUUGAUUAUUUGUAUAAAUAUAUAAGGACAAACUAGCUAACAUAAGGAAUAGUCAUAUGUUAUUUAUUUGUAUAUAAGGUUGAAGCAUUCCUAUGUACUCAUUCUUUGUAUAUAGAUUUUCUUUAUUGAUAAAAAAGUACUGAAUUGUACUUAUUCUUUUUAAAAUACCACUAGCAUACUAUAAAAUAAAAUUUUUUUAAAAGUAAAUGAUACUUAAAUAUUUCAUCUAAUAGAAAAAACUAUUAUUAUCUCUAAAAAAAGACUUUAAAAAAAAUAUCCAUAGCUAAUUUCUUUUAUAAAAUUUAUAAGAAAUAACUUCUCCAAAUAUUUUGUUUUUAAAUUUUGUAAAGUUUCACAAAAUAUUUAUAGAACAAGUUGCACAACAUAUAAAAAUAAUAAUAAAUUUAUAAAAAAACAACAUUUAAGUAUUUUAUCUUUAUAUAUAAAUAUCAAAUAAAAAUAAUUACUUAUAAUGUAUAUUAAUUCAUUAGAAAAAAAGUAAACCCCCAUAUUAGCAUAUACAUCUAUUCUAACAUUAUCAUAACACCUUCACUACAUGAAAAAAUGGUUUUAACGGGAGUUUAUUUUUACAUUAUUAAAGGUUAAAACCUCUCUUAAGUCAUUUACUCAGGGCAGUUUCUCCUGCUAAAUCAUCUUUGAGAAAUGUGUUUCCUGGGGUUUUUUUAAACAUUUGGAAAAAUCUUUCAAAAUCCCCGUUAAAUAUCAUGGGCUUAAGAACCUCCGUAAAAUUUCAUAACCUCCGUAAAAUACUAUGCGUUUUAGGACCUCCGUAAAAUACCACGAGUUUCAAAACCUCUGUAAAAUAUCAUAGGUUUUAGAACCGCUGCAAAAUACCAUAGUUUUCAAAACCUCCAUAAAUUUUAGAACCUCUGUAAAAUAACAUAGGCUUCAGAAUCUCCGUAAAAUAUCAUUUGUUUUAAAAUCUCUGUAAAAUAUCAUAGGUUUCAGAAUCUUCAUAAAAUACCAUAGGUUUCAGAACUCCGUAAAAUACCAUAGACUUCAGAACCUUCGUAAAAUACCAUAGGUUUCAGAACCUUCGUAAAAUAUCAUAUUUAGAUGUUGUUCUCUAAUUAAAUUAAAAAUUUAUUUUUAAAAAAAUAUAUUUAAAAAAAUGCAAAUUAAAAAAAAUAAAAAAUGUAAAAAAGAACUAAAUGAAAAAAAAAAUACUUCUUAAAAUGAAAGAUAAGUGAAAGAGGAGCAAGUCCAAUAUAGAAAGAUUCAAGCCUAGAAAGCGGGUAGGGAUAGAAAUGAUAUGGAAAUAGGUGAUGUUUACAAGGAAAAAGAAGAAGCAAAAAGCACCUAUGAUUGAAUCAAAUUUUCAAAUCUUCAAUGUUUAUCAUGCAUUGCAGCAGUAACUCACCUCCCAUCCUGGUUGAGGGCUAAGAAUUGGUGUUGCCAUGAAACUUGCCUUACCCUUUAUAUAAGUUUCUCUCCAUAUUAGCAAAAAGAUUAUAAAAGAAAGAAAAACAAGCAAUCAGAAUUGACAUGCCAAUAUGUUUCUUAAAUAGCAAAAGAUAUAAACUUUUUCAUCCAAACCUGACUUUUAAGAAAAACUAGUGCAACUGUAUUCCUUAAAAAAAAAUAUGAAAAUGGAUAAAUAGAUUUUGAAUAGACAACUGUACCUAAAUGAUUAUUUUAUUUUUUAUGAAAAAAAUUGUCACUACAUCUUUGAUGGUUUCGAAGUCCUAGUUUGUUAAACGAUUUCAGUUUUUAGGACUUUACUUUUUUUUAAGUAAAGUUUCCAUGUAAGUGAGUUUUCUUUUAUGAUUUAUUAAUUUAGGUUUUUCAAUUUAAAUUUUAUAAUAAUAAAGUUGUGUCUUGUUAUAUUUUAAAAAAUAAUAUUUAAGUGCUUAUAUUUUAAAGAUAUAGUUAAGUUUGUUUUAGAUGAUAUAGUCUUUCAAUAAAAAAAUUUCAAUUAGGUAAAAUUGGGUUUCAUUCAUUGAAAAAUGAAAUAAAAGUUGAAAUUAAUUAUGAUAAAUUUGUAGAAAUUUUUAUUUAAUAUAGACAAACUAAUUUUUAAAACGAAAGGAUAUAUUGUUCUAAGAAUCCAUUUUCUAGUUUGUCUUGUGAACUUUUUUUGUAGUUCUUAUAUUUGAUAGUUUCCUGAAAGGCUGAAGCAAAUGUUGAAAUCUCUCUUUCCCUAUUAUCACCAUAUCCAUAAUAGUAAUUGGCAUUGUAUGUAUGCAUGACUCAACAUUUAUCUAUUGGGGGAAGAUAUCACACAUGAUGAUGAUGGGUAUAUGUGAAUUGACAUUGGAAUGAAAAUGAAAGAUGAAGGGUCACCUGUGUGGACCAUGUUGUGUGUGGCUUUGGUUUGGAUAGAAGCUUAAAAUUGAGACACAUGAUGUGGGGUAAGUACCUAGAUAAGGACCAUAUGUCUUAAGAGAGAAAAUAGAUGAACAAUUAUAAAUCUUUUGGGAAUUUGGCUUUACCUACAUUUCAAGUACUUUGUUUCCAUUACUUGGACUCAAAGUUAUUCUUUCACGCUCUUUAGUAAAUAAGGUACACUUAAGUGGAACAAAUUAAUAGAAAAUGAUAUGUUAAAAAAUAAACUUUAAUGCAUGUAUAGUAUAAAAUAUUCUUAUAUUUAGUCAAUGUGGGAUAUUCAACAUUUUACAUAACAACCUGAUAGUGAGUGACCUGAUAAGUCCAACAAACUCUUACUAGGAUGACUUUAAUACCAAAUUAAAAGUAACUUUAAGUCUAACUUAACUUUACAAAACUGGUUAAUAAGUAAGCAUUCAAUUAUAUAUUAUAAAAUUCUAUUAUCUCUAGUCAAUUUCAUAUCUCCAUCAAAUAUUCAAUUCAAAGACUAUAUAUGAAUUGUUUGCAUCAACUUAGGUUUCUCUAGUAAAUUGCCAAGUUUUGUUCCCGAGAAAGCUGGCCAACAACGUUGGUUUGGUCGGUUUAAACCUUAAACCUUUUCGGGGUAAGGUUCUUGCCUCCUUGGUAUGAAGGGAUAUUUAGCUUGCCUCUUCGGUGGAUUUGAGGUCAGAGGAUAUUAGUCAUUUCAUCUCCGAAAGUGCUGUUAGAAAUUGUAAUAUGAUGUUUUGGAUGAAAAAUGAUGUGUCUGAAGCUCGAAAAUUUAGAAUUGUGGGAAGGAGAUGGGAUUUUUGUUUAAUGGUGAGGAGGAUGUAGUUUUUUGUUCUUUACAAGCCUUGGAAGCUCUGGAUUCUAACAGAAGGAAGAAGGCCAACGUUUUUGAUGAUGAAAAUAAUUAGUCUGAAUAUUAGGGGGCUAGGAGGAAGCGUUAAAAGAAGAUAUCUAAGAGAGUUAAUAAGCUUGGAACAAGUAGGCGUGGUUUGUCUACAAGAAACAACGUCUUUUGAGUUUGGUGAGGGGAAUUGUUUUCUAUUGUGGGGCUCUAACGACAUCGGUUAGGUUGAGAAUGGAGCGAGUAGUAACGCUGGUGGGAUUAUUACAAUAUGGAGAAAUAGUUGUUUUCAUUUGUUGAGGUACUCUAACGGGAACAAUUUUCUGUUAUUGAAGGGGUCUGGAAGGUUGGUGGUGGUGUACAGGUUACAAUUGUGAAUGUCUAUUGCUUGGGGUCGUUGAGGGAUAAGAAGAUAAUUUGGGAUGAGAUUUGUGAAGUAAGGACAAAUCAUUCGAAUAGGGUUUGGUGUGUAGUUGGGGACUUCAAUGCUAUAAGGAGGAAGGAGGAAAGAAAAAGUUUUGUUUUUGUGUCAUACUACAACAGAGAAAUUAAUGAGUUUAAUAAUUUUAUUGAAAGGUCAGAACUGUUGGAUAUCCCGAUGGUUGGCAGGAAAUUUACUUGGUAUAAACCAAAUGGAUUCGUGAAGAGCAGAAUCGAUAGGGUCUUGGUUUCCAAGGAUUGGUUGGAAACUUAGUGAAAUAGUAAAUAGUUUGUCUCUAGUAGAUCGGUGUCAUAUCAUUGAGCCCUAGUACUUAAAGACGUGUGUUCAGAUUGGGUUUCGAACCCGUUAAGAAGUCUGGACAUUUGGCAGAAGGAUGGCAGGUUCAUUGAUUUUGUGCGAGACAAAUGGACUAACUAUAUGACAUGUUUGGAAAAUGGUUGUUCAUUUUAAGGAAAAAUUGAAAAGAUUAAAGUAGGAUUUAAAAGUCUAGAAUAGAGAUAUCUUUGAGAAUGUAAAUAGCCUUGGGGAGGAUUUAAAAAAGAAGAUUCAAAUUUUGGACGAAAGGCGUUCUUAAUGAGGCAGAAGGAGAGGAAAUGAGGUUAUUGUUGGCAGAACAAAGCAAGAAUCUUUCAAGCAAGAAGCGAUCUAUUUUCUGAAAGCUCGUCACAAGUGACUCCAACAAGGUGACCUAAAUUCUAAAUACUUCCAAUCGGUCGUUACAUGGAGAAGGGUAAGAAAUAACUCUAAUGACAUGUUCAAUAACGGUUGUUGGUGUGACGACAAGGACGUGGUUAAGGAUAGAGUCAGAGAUUUUUUUAAGAAUAGACUCGAAGGAGUUAUUGGGCCUCAGGUUAGAUUGGACAACGUAUUUUUUAACUCUAUUUCUGAUUUAGAUUAUGAGACGUUGGUUGGUUCUUUCUCUAAAGAGGAAGUUAAGAAUGCAGUUAGUUGUUGUGACAGUUCGAAGAGUUCUGAUCCAGAUGGUUUUAAUUUUAGCUUCAUUAAACAUAACUGGGAUAUGAUAAAAAAGGACAUUCUCUUGGCAGUGAAGGAUUUUGUUGUCUCUGGUUCUUGGCCUAUGGAGUCUAAUGCUUCCUUUAUUUACUUGGUCCCCAAGUCGGAAAACCCACAAUUGUUAGGUGAUUUCAAACCCUUUUCUCUGGUCAGGUGCUUGUACAAGAUUAUCUCUAAAUUGCUUUCUCUUAGGUUGAAAAAGGUAUUACGAAAGGUCACUGAUUCCAGACAAUCGACUUUUCUUGAAGGAAGGGGUUUAAUGGAUAGUGUUCUUGUCGCCAAUGAGAUACUUGAGGAGAAUAAGAAGACCAAGAAGAGUUUCAUUUUUUUCAAGGAGGACUACGAGAAGGCCUAUGACUCUGAGAAGUGGGAUUUUAUGUACUACAUGUUAGGAAGGCUUGGUUUUUGCGACAAGUUGAUUUUAUGAAUUAAAUCUUGCCUUAAGUCUGCUUCGUUUUUUGUUCUUGUUAACGGAAGCCCGACUAAGGAAUUUUCUCCGAUUAAGGGGUUGAGACAAUGUAACCCCCUCGCUCCAUUUUUAUUUCUUAUUGUGGUUGAAGGUUUGGCAUGGGUCUCUAGGAAUGCUGAUGAGCUUGAUGCGGUAGAAAGUAUGGAGAUCGGGAGUAAGAAGGUUAAAGUUAAUAUGCUUCAAUAUGCAGACGAUACUCAGUUUUUCUGUCAUGAGAAUUCUAAAAGUAUUUUCAACAUUAAGGCAAUGUUAAAUUGUUUUAAGCUGGCCUCAAGUUUGAAGGUGAAUUUUUUGAAAAGCAGUAUUUGUGGGUUGAUUCGUUCACUAUCCGAGGUUUGGCGGCUAUCCUUAACUAUGAUGUUAUGAAAGUCCUUUUCAAAUAUCUAGGGUUGCCUAUUGGGGGGUGUCACAAGAGGGAAGUGUUUUGGGAUUGAAUGGUGGAUAAAAUCAAGUCCAGAUUGAGAAGAUGGAAAGGUAGAAAUUUAUCUAUGGCAAGGAUUUGCCUCAUCAAGUCAGUUCUUUCAUCUAUUCCAUUGUUCUAUAUGUCAAUGUUUUUUUAUGCUUAUAGUUUUGAUGAAAUAGAUUGUGAGUAUUCAGAGGAACUUCCUCUGGGUGGAGUUCUAAAGGGAGAAAGAUCGUUUGAGUUUCUUAGGAAAAGGUUUGUGAGUCUCGAGAUGGUGGCGGGCUUGGAGUAGAUAAUAUUAAGGAUUUUAACUUGGCUUUGUUGGGUAAAUGAAUUUGGAGGUUGGGGUUUAAUGGGGGGUGUUUGUGGAAGGAGGUUUUAAAGUCGAAAUAUGGAGGCUGGAGAAAGCUGAAGGAGAACAUGUUUAUCUAUAAUGCUUCCCUUUGGUGGAAAGAUUUGGAAGUUGAAGAACUGGGGUAAUAACUUCGAUGACUGCUUUAAAUGGGAAGUUGAUAAUGGGAAGAUUAUCAAGUUCUGGGAGGACCAGAGGGUAGGUAAUGAUAUCUUGAAGAAUAAGUUUCCAAGGCAUUUUUUCUCUUUGUGUUGAGAAACAUGUGUCGUUGGACAUUGUGGGUCUUGGGCAAACCGUGUCUAGGAGUGGUCUUUGGCGUAGAGAAGAAGUCUUUUUGAUUGGGAGAAGGACUAACUUAGUCAACUCCUCGAGGUAGUGCACGACUUGUGUCCUGUCUUGGAUAAAGUUGAUAGGUGGGUCUAGAAAGACGUUAAGUUUCAUGAGUUUUCAAUUAAUUCGACGUACAUGAUUCUUAGAGGUGGGUCUGAGGGGAUCUGGUCGAGGAUGUUUAAUUGCUUUUGGAGGAUUAAGGCUUGGCCUUUUGCUCAUGUUACCGCUUGGAGGGUGAUAAAAAAUAAGAUUGUCGUUAAGGUUAAUUUACUUAGACGUGAGAUUACGGUCGGAAGCGCUCCCUGUUGUUUUUGCAAGGUAAAAGGGGAAGAGUUAAAUCAUUUGGAUUGUGGUGGUUAGUGAGAUUUGGAGUCAUAUGAACAAGAUUUUAUUCAAAGGUGGAGUGUUGGACUACUCUGAGAUCUUUUCAUUGGCUCAAUUGAAAGUUUAGUCUUGGAUUACUUCUAAAUUGUCCUCUACUUGUUUCUCUUAUUCUGAUUGGUGUCUUGUUCAUCUGGUUUGUCUUCUUUCGCUUUAGCUUGUUUGCCGUUGUGGUUUUUGGCAUGGUUAGUUAUGAGUAGUCGGUUGGAAGAUAUUGUGUUGUAAGGUCGUCUCAUGUUUUUUGUAUAUGAGUUGGAUUACCCUGAAGUGAUUCUUAUGUAUAUAUUGUUUCUUGUUGAUAAAAAAAAAACUUUACUCUUUGUAUAUCCCUACUCAUAUUUUAGAACAAUUAAUAAAACACGCAUUAGGGGCUUGCUACAAAUUAAUGCAUGUUAAGAAAAGUAUGACCAAAAUUAUGUCUAAAAAUGUUACUAAGGAUUUUUUUUAAAACUGUAUUAACAAAAUAUCACUAAAAUACGCAUACAACCCUCUUAUAAUAACACUUGUUUUUUUGGUUGACAAAGUUUUAAGUAGUCCUUUUAUAAAUGCAGAGUAGAAUGAGACAGAAAUAAAUGGAUGGAUUCUAUUUUAUUUGUAUAUUAUUAAAAGACAUUAAAUAAAAAAGUGAUAUAUUUUAUUUUUUGUAAGAAAAGAGCCAAGAAACAAAGGAAAAUAUUCCCUUAGGUUUUCACUCGUCAAACCUUGCCUCAAACUCUAGUCAAAUGACAAUAACUUGAUAGAACAUGAAUUAGAAGAUGAUUAUUACCCUUCAGCUGACUCUUUAUAAUUCUUUUUCCCAGGUAUAUUUAUACAGUUUUAAUCUCUUAAAUGAGUCUGUUAAACUAAAUUAAUAUAUUUAUCAGUUUUUAUUAAUAAUAUUAAUUUUUCAUCCCAGGGAUUUUAACCUGCACUUCAUAAAUUUAAUUAUUCUAAAAAUAUUAUGAGUUUUAAUUUUGCAUUGUAAAAUUGAUUUUUUUUUCCAAAAUUAUAUAAUCUAAAAUGUCAAAUAUAUUUGUUGUAAGUUCUGAAAUACAAAUUUGUAUUUCAAGAUUGUAUAAAGUAAAAUACUAUAAUUAUCUGUCACAGUUUCCGUCUACUUCAUAUCAUUAACUACACAGGGAUGCAUACAUGUUAUCUCAUUUUAAUACUGUACAAGAGUGCAGAUUGAGAUCAGAGUAUGUGUGAAUGCAGAUUGAAAUCAUAGGAGUGCAGGUUGGAAUCAUAGAGGUGCAUGAAGAUAUCAGCAUAAGCCUUAUGUUACCUUGGUCUAAGCCCAUAAAAGUCCAUAGCUGAUUAUUGCAAUUAGGCACUAUCUUCCUGCACCUCCCUAAAUCUUUCAAUUUCAAAAUUACCCUUCGACAAAAGGUGCAGGAUUUUUUAUUUUUUUUUCAUCUUCAAAUUGUAUAAUCCGUAGAACUUCUGAAUUUUAAAAUUUGAAAUAUUCUAUUCUAAAUUUUAGAGUUCGAAAUAUAUUUUUAAACUCUAAGAAAUAUGUUUUAAAGAAUUCGAAAUACAAAAUUGUAUUUUAAAUUAUAUAAUUUAGAAGAUAUUUUGAACCCAGAAAAUAUAUUAUAUUUUUAAAAAUUCAUAAUACAAUUUUGUUUUCCAAUUUUACAGUUUGAAAUGUAUUUUCUGGAUUCAAAAAUAUCUUUUAAACUCUAAUAUUCAAAAUAUAAAAUUGUAUUUGAAAUUCUAGAGUUCAAAAGAUAUUUUCAAACCUAUAAAAUAAAUUUCAAAUUCUAAAAUUUACUAAAAUUUAUUCAAAAUAUAAUUCUAUAUUCCAGGUAUUUUAGAGUUCGGAGUUUUAAAAUCCAAAAAGAGGAAAGACGGGUGUCAAUUAAAAAGAUGAAAAAAGGAGGUAGAAGAAGAAAUUGCCUUUUGGAGUUAACAAAGAAACAAAUCCAUUAGAGAUGGAAAGGUAAACUAGGCCCACAUCAAUAUGGGCCCAAUUAAGUAUAUAUUGAGUAAGUAUUUAAAAACUUGAUUUUAUUUUUCUUUACUUUUACAAACCUAAUUUUAUUGAAAUUAAGUUGAUAACGAAAUAAAUUAUAUUUAAAAUAUCUCUUCUAAAAAUAAGUUUGUAAUAAAACAUAACAUAUAAUUCUCAUUAUGACGUAAAUCUUACUUUUGUUUUUAACUUUUAACCAAAAGCAAUUUAAAAAAAAAAAACUUAAUUCUACAAACUUCAAUCAUACAUACUUAAUUCUUUCAGUAAUUUUGUGUUUUAAAUUGAUUAUUACAUUAAAUAUUGAAUUAAUGCACUUUUUUAUGGUUAAAUUAUAUAAUAACUCCUUACAAUUUUAUUAAGAUUUUAAAAAAGCCUGUAUAAUUUUAAAAUUUUACUACAUUUUAAUUGCUUAAAUAUAAUGAAUGAUUAUAUUUAACAAUUAAUUUUUUGAUUAAGUUAUAAAUACCUAUUCAAAAGUUCGUGCCACAAAAAGACAUAUUUAAAAACCAACACAAAAUAUAAUUAUUCAUUUAAUAGGUAUCACACUAGAGCUUGUUCUCAUAUUAAAUUUUAGUUUUUAAAUAAAUUACCAGAGUUUAGUAAAAUUCAAUAAUCUCUAUUCAUAAAUUGAGUUUUAUUUACAAACAACAUAAGAAUUUCUUUUGUAAAUUUUUAAAUCAUAGUAAUUACUUAAAGUUUGGAAUAGCUACAUAACAUAAUUUAACCUAAUAUAUAAAAUAAUUGUAUAUAUAACUUUAAAAAUUGUGAAUCAUUAUUUAAUAUAAAAUAAUAAUGUUUUGAUAAUGUACAUAUAUAAGAAGAAAUAAUUUAGUCCAAUAAGAGUAACAUUUAGUAAAGUUAUUUCUUUCAAUCCCGUAUUAACAACAAAUCUUUUGGAAGUGUUUUUUUUUACCUUUUCUUUACUAAAAUUUGUUGAAAUUUAAAUUAUUCAUUUUAAUAAUAAAUACACAUAAUAUUCUAGAACAAUUGCUUUGUUUACAGCAAAAUAUUUAAUAAAUUAUAAAUUAAUGGGAAAAAGUCCUAACAUAGUUAUUUUUAUAUUUUAAACAUAUGCCUAUUUUUUCAUGUUCACACAAACUCAUGCAACAUCUAAUGUGUACUCUUUACUACAAUUCUUGUUUUUAUGCAUUAACAACAAACACUACAAAUAAAAAAUAAUGGUGAAAAUGUUAAUUUAUUAGGCUUGUUUUAAUAUUUGAAAAGUCAAUCUAUGUUCGUAACUUAUAUAUAUAUAAUGUAGUAUAUGUUUUUAUAAUAACUAUUUACAAAAUUGAUAUCUUCUUUUCUUUUAUAACUUUUUCCUCUAUUUCAACAGUAGUCUUUAAUAUUAUAAAUUUAUAAUAAAAUAAUUUUUAUUUAAUGUCAAAUCAAUUUUUAAAAUUAUAUUUUAAUGAAAAAACAAUGUAAUGAAACUUAACAAGGGUAAGUAAUUUUAAGAUAUUGUACAAACUAAAAUAAAUAUUUCUUCUUUUAAAAACUAAAUAGAUAAUAUUUUACAUAUUUAAGGAUUAAAUUGAAACUUUACUAAAAUAAAAAAUCCAAGUAAUAUUAUUGCAAGACCCGUAUGAAAACUCAAAGGAAUUACACAACCUUAGCAGUUCUUUAUACUAUAGUAACACUAGUUUCAGAACUUUCAUAGAAUAGCCCAAAAUUGCAAUGUAUUUCUGGUAUAGCAUAAUUGUCCCAGACACAACUUACACAUCUUCAUAAAAAUCACACUGUUCGUACCAAAAGUAAAGUAACCACAAAAGCUCUAUUAACUUCAUUGUUGUUUUUUUUAAAUAUCAUCGACCAUUUCAUUCAAAAUACUUGAAGAGAUUUUAGAUCUGUUCUUGAUUCAAAAUCAGAAUUUCUAAUUAGUACCAACAUUUAAUUUCAACCUUUAUUGCACAUGAUACUAAAAUGAAAUUCUAAUUUUGAUUAUAGAACAGUAUUAAAAACACUUAAAAGUAAUGUACCUAAAUUUUGUCCACUCUUAGAAGAAAGAAAAACCCAUGACCAUAUCUUGUUCUUGUGAAAAGUAACUGUCGUGCUUCCAAUUCUCGUACCAUGCUUCUCCAACCAUUGAAUCAUCAAGCCUCCAAGUCUCAUCUUCAAAAGUACGUUCUGGUAUUUCAACACAAGCAUACCCGUUGAAACGACAAUCAUCCUCGUACGACAUUAACAAGUCACUGAUAUCAAAGUCUUGAAAAACACCUGUUAAACAGUGGUUAUGGUGAUCUUGUGACAUGGAUGCAGAAGGGUUAUUAUGGUCCCUGGUCGUUGUGAUCAAAUUCAUUGUGCUGACUGAAUCAUUGCCUGGCAUCAUAACCUUGGUACACCUCAUUGAUUUUGGUGUAAUCAUCAUUGGGUGAGGGGGUUUUGUAGGAUCAAGAACAUCAUCCAAGAAAUUUUUGGAGCUUAAGUUGAUAGGAAUGUUGCUGUCAUGGCCAACAACAUGGUUUUGAUUGUACUUCUGCUCUACCUUCUUUCUCAAAUAAGUGUUCCAGUAGUUCUUAAUUUCAUUGUCUGUUCUCCCUGGUAAUCGUCCCGCAAUUAGAGACCAUCUAUUCACCAUAACAAUAUGAUAAAAUAUUAAUACAUUGACAAAAAAAAAUGGAGUAAAUGCAUGUAAAAUAUAAACAGAUGUACCUAUUCCCUAAGAGUUUGUGUAAUCUGAUAAUGAGAUCUUCUUCAUCAGAAGAAAUGUUUCCUCUCUUUAUAUCUGGGUUUAGAUAAUUCAGCCAUCGAAGUCUGCAACUCUUGCCACAUCUUUUCAAGCCUACAUAAAUACAAAUGAUCAAAUUUUGAAAGUAGAAUACUUUUGAAACUCUAUAUAUUUCUGCAUUGCAUAUAUAUACCUGCUCUUUUGGAAAGCUCUCUCCAUUUACCUUCUCCAUGGACUUGAACGUAGUUCAUAAGAAUUUUGUCUUCUUCAGCAGACCAAGGACCUCUGUUCAUAGCAUAUUCAUUCUCACAGUUGGCCUUUCUUUCCAUCUUCUCUCUUUCUCUCACUCACCCUCUUUCGCUCUAUUAUUGGAUUCUGAAAGGUGUUGUUAAUGCCCCUUAAAUACUUGCUCACUUUUCUUUUAAUUAUUUAAAUAAAUGCCAUGUAUAUGUGGUAGAUGAAUCAACCAAAUGAGGAUCACGACUAUAACAGUUCUUUUACCUCAUUUUUUCCAUUCAAAUGGGACCCCUAGUGGACUACGUAUAGUGCUCCUUAAAGGAGAAAAAAGUAUUUUGAAAAGUGAUUUAGAAUAAUGUAGCAAACAUAAAAAUUUCUAGUAUUAUAUAUCAAAUUAAGUUUACACUUUGUAACAUUUAUAUAAUUAUGAAGAGAACUUAAAGUAUGUUCUGAUAAUAUAAUAAGUGUUGGAGUGGUAGCAUUUCACUGAGAUAAAAGAGUCUGAUUAAAGAGAACAGUUAUUAUGACAAAAGGAUAUGGAGAAAAGGAUUGGGCAUCGACCCUCGAAGAUUGCAAACUAAGUGGCUGAAAUAUCAGAGCAUGUGCUCAAUUAUAUCAUAACACACACGGGUCCCUCCAAUCUCAGUUUUACUACUCCUCAAAAAUCAAUAAUAGAACUAAGAUAUUUGCUCUUCUCAAUGUUACUACAAAGAAUCAACGUAGCAUUGUGUUCUGUGUUAAUGGAAAGCAACUGAGUCUAAAGAAGAAAAUAAAGAGUGAGAAACUAGAUCGCUAGAAUGAUAGAGUCGUGUAAAGAAUAAAGAUUCCCUCUUUUUAUGAUAAAAAAGUAGAAAGGAAAGUUUGUUUUGUCAAGUAGUAUUUUUAGUUCUGUCUGCUUAUAUUAUAAAAGUUACUUUAUUCAAAUGAAAAUUUCUUAAACUUUCUUAUAAUAAAUAAAAAAAAAUAAGUAUUUUGUUUAUUUAUUUUUCAUUAUAUUCAAACAAUAAGACAAUAUUUAGUAACUCUUAUUUACUUUAUUUUUCUUUCCACAUCUAACUAACAUAAAGCUAUGGAAAAGAAGUAUAUGUAAAAUUGGCGUCAAGAAUAAUUAUUCUUAUAUAUAGCAAUCAAUAUGUAAGAUUUCCUUCCAGAAAAUAAAGGCCAACCUAAUGGUCCUCUUGGCUGUGAAAACGGCUGACUAUCUAAUUAAAAAUAAUUUUUUUACAUGUAAUAUUAACACAAUUGUGGCUCAUUCACUAUUAAAGGAUACACAUACCAGAGUUAUAGAAGGAUCCUAAUAUUAAUUGGGUGUCUUUUCUAAUUAUCAAUUUGUUUCUCUUUAUAGAGGAGAAUAAUUUAGUGUCUUUUAUAAUUAUCAGUUGUUUCUUCUCUUUAUAGAGGUGAAUACCUUUAUUUUGUCUUUGUGUGUUAUGAUUAUAGUAUUUAAUUAUUGAUUCUUUUCAUUAUUGUUAAAAUUUGUAUUGUGAAAGGCUGCAUGACUUUGAUGAUGGUUCUGAUUUUUAAAUUUGAAAUAAGGUGGAAAACCACGCUUUUUAUAGCAUGUAUCACUGGUAUGCACUGUCUUUCCACAAUAAUUGCAAAUUUUGGAAGUAUAUCUUCUUCCAUAGCUUCCUCUUCCAUAUCCACCACCCAUGCCAUAGAUUGUAGCAUUGUUAUUAUAACCUCAUUUGCUAGUAGCAAUUAUUGCCUUUGAUUGAUCACCAAAAACUUGCCUCUCUUGUUGUGUAAUGAGAGAGUAAACUCUAUUCAAGGAUGAAUUAUCUGAUAAACUAACAUGGUAAUGUGAAUAAAGAUCUUGUGAGGGAUCAACAACGUCACCCAUAGAUAAAUGUAGCAACCAGAGCUCUAAUCAUAGCUAUGAUACCAUAUUACAAAAUAGAACAGAGAUGAACAAAAGAGUAAACUGAAGACAAAAGAUAUGAGAAUGAAUAUCUCUUCUUUCUUAUUAUUCAAAUCAAAACAAAUGGUCUGAAUAUAUACAAGUAGUACACUCAUUCUAGGUUUAACUAAAGAGGAAAAGAAUCAAUAAUUAAAUACUAGAAUCAUAACACACAAGACAAAAUAAAGGUUAUUCACCUCUAUAAAAAGAAACAACUGAUAAUUAGAAAAGACACCAAAAUUAUUCUCCUCUAUAAAGAGAAACAACUGAUAAUUAGAAAAGACACCCAAUUAAUAUUAGGAUCCUUCUAUAACUCUGGUAUUGAUAUUAUCAAGAAUAAAUUUCCUUUUGUUAAAUAUAAUAAAUCUUUUGUUCGUGAUGUUUGUCAUUUUGCAAAGCAAAAAAGACUUUAUUUUCCUAUUAGUACAUUUAAAUCGAAAAAAUGUUUUGAUUUGAUUCAUGUAGAUAUUUGGGGACCAUACUCAAUACCAUCAAUUCAUGGCCAUAAAUAUUUCUUGACCAUAGUUGAUGACUAUUCGAGGUACACGUGGAUUUUUCUUUUGAAACAAAAAUAUGAAGUUGUUAAGGUUUUGGAACAUUUUGUUAUUUUUGUUCAAACACAGUUUGAGACAACAAUAAAAAUAAUAAGAAGUGAUAAUGGAACUGAGUUUGUCAUGACUAAUUUUUUUGUUAGUAAAGGAAUAAUACAUCAAACAUCAUGUGUCAAUACUCCACAACAAAAUAGUAUAGUUGAAAGGAAACAUGGUCAUUUAUUAGAUGUAGCAAGAGCUCUUAUGAUACAAUCUCAUUUACCCAAAAUUUAUUGGUCAUAUUUUGUGAUACAUGCUGCGCAUAUUAUAAACAUGCUUCCCACACCUGUUUUAAACUAUUCUUCCCCUCAUGAAAUGCUUUUCAAAACUGAUGCAGAUUUUAAUGGAUUAAAGGUGUUUGGUUCUUUAUGUUAUGCUAGCACUUUGUCAACAAAUAGAAGAGAUUGCUCGAAUCAAACAAGCCUUGAAUCAGACAUUCAAGAUUAAAGAUCUUGGGAAUUUAAGAUAUUUUCUUGGUCUAGAAGUAGCAAGAAGUAAGACAGGAAUAAUGGUAAAUCAAAGGAAAUAUGCAUUGGAAUUAUUAACAGAUGCAGGUCUUUUAGCCUGCAAACCUGCACCCACUCGUAUUGAUAAUCAUGAGAAAUUCUCUUCUACUGGAAGUGUUCCUUUCACAGAUAUUCAAGCCUACAGAAGAUUGAUUGGAAGACUUAUGUAUCUCACUAAUACCCGACCUGACAUAACAUUUUCUGUGCAACAACUUUCUCAAUUUCUUCCUAAGCCUACAAUUGCUCACUAUAAUGCAGCUAUUAGAAUUCUCAGAUAUAUCAAAGGGGCUCCAAGUCUUGGUCUAUUUUUCUCUUCCACUACCUCUGUUCAUCUUAAAGCCUUUUGUGAUAGUGAUUGGGGCACCUGUAGUGAUUCAAGACAAUCAGUGAAUGGUUUUAGUGUGUAUCUUGGGAAUUCUCUCAUAUCUUAGAAAUCAAAGAAGCAAGGAACAGUAUCAAAGAGUUCUUGUGAAGAUGAAUACAGGGCAAUGACCACUGUUACAUGUGAAAUUCAAUGGCUAACUUAUCUUCUUCAAGAUUUCAAAGUUCCUUUUGAGCAACCAUCUCUUUUAUACUGUGACAAUAACUCAGCAAGAUACAUUGCAGCAAAUCCAGUGUUUCACGAGCGUACAAAACAUAUAGAAAUAGAUUGUCAUGUGGUCCGGGAAAAAUUAAAGAAGGGUCUCAUCCAUUUGCUUCCCAUUUCCACCACAGAGCAACUAGCUGAUAUUUAUACCAAAGUUUUAAGUCCUCAAUCUUUUAAGAAUAUUUGUUCCAAACUGGGUCUCAUCAAUAUUUGCUGCUCCCCAGCUUAUGGCGGGGUAUUAAAGGAUACGGAUACCAGAGUUAUAGAAGGAUCCUAAUAUUAAUUGGGUGUCUUUUCUAAUUAUCAGUUGUUUCUCUUUAUAUAGGAGAAUAAUUUGAUGUCUUUUCUAAUUAUCAUUUGUUUCUCUUUAUAGAGGUGAAUAACCUUUAUUUUGUCUUGUGUGUUAUUAUUCUAGUAUUUAAUUAUUGAUUCUUUUCCUCUUUAGUUAAACCUAGAAUGAGUGUACUACUUGUAUAUAUUCAGACCAUUUGUUUUGAUUUGAAUAAUAAGAAAGAAGAGAUAUUCAUUCUCAUAUCCUUUGUCUUCAGUUUACUCUUUUGUUCAUCUCUGUUCUAUUUUGUAAUAUUCACUUCUCAUGAAAUCUCAAUUCACGUCAAAUAGUUUUUUUUAUAGAAAAAUUCUUAAUUUUUUUCUUGUAAAUACGAUUGCAAAAGGUUUGUUUGACGACAUUUAUUGACGACAUUUAUAGACGACAGUUUAGAACUAUUCUUCGUCUAAAAUUGUAGUCACAAUUUUUUGAUCUAAGUCAAGAUAUAAACAAUAGUUAUGAUGACAACCAUUGCCUAUAUAAAAAUAGAAUGUGUAGACAAUUAUUUUAUUAGAUAAUUGUAGUCUAUUGAUUAAAAAUAGAUAACAGUUGAGGAUGAAAUUGUGACCUAAAGUUGAAAAUUUCAUAUAGAGGACAAUUAUGAACUAAGAAUUGUCGUAUAUGGACUUAUUUACAUGUCCUCCACAACUCUUCUCCCUUUGUUCUUUCUACUUAACUGUCAUUAUUUUUUUGUUCUCUACUCUUUAUUGUCUUUGUUGCAUGUUAUCUCUACUCUCCAUUGUCUUUGUUGUGCGUUAUCUCUGCUCUCCAUUGUCUUCAUUUCUUAUGAUCUUAUCUAUCAAUUUUUUUCAUUUAGUUUUUUUUUUUCAUUUUGUGUGUUACAUGUUGUCUUUCUUGUGGUUUUUGCAUUUUAAGGGGCAGAGUUCCCUGCACCUGCCUUAUGCCUUCGCAGCUUGCUACAUCGCCUCCAAACCUCCCUACACCUCCUCCACAGCUCAUGCGCUGCCUCCAUGCUCCUGCACGUUUUCAUAUGUAAAAAUAAAACACUAGGUUAGUUAGUGUUUUAGGAUUUUUAGUGUAAUUUUUUAUUUUUAUUUUUAUCAUUAUUAUUUUUAAUGAAUUUAAUAUAUUUUAAUAUUUAUUUAGUAAUAAUAUUUAUAUGUUUUUUUUAAUAUUCCUGAAUCUUUCUCUGCUUUAGUUAAUACAAGUUAACAAAGAGGAGGAAAUAAAAUAAUCAAACUAAACUAAAAAAAUCGUCACAUAGACGACAAUUCAAAUCAAAAUUGUCAUCUAUAUCACAAUAUAGACAACAGUUAUUGACAAAAAUCACGGUCUAUAUUGUGACUUUUGUAUUGUUCAAUUUUGUCACAUGCUAGCCGAUGGUUGGAACCAAAAUUGUCGUCUAUGUGUAAUAAAUUUUUGUUUUUUUAUUUUUCAACUAUAGAGAUUAAGGAUGGCGGUUUGGAUGAAAACGUCAUCUAUAUGAGAAAAAAUAGACUCUAUUAUUUUGUGUUUGUACGUUUCUUUUUUAGUUGCACCACUCGACCUUGGAAAGGGGGAGCACCCAAAGAGUUCUCCAUUAACAAUACACUUGGAGGACAAUAACUCAAACAUAGAGUAAAGGGACCAAAAGGAGGAUUCUGAGUUAGAUGAAAAUGAGGAGGAUAUUCAAAUAUGUUAGUAAUAAUAGUAAAGCAAAAGGGGUUGCGAUUGUUAAGCAGAAAAAUAUAAAUGAUAAUUUAAAACAGUAAAGAAUGUAGUUUGACUCCCAAGUUCUUCUACCAAUGAUUUCAUACACGCACACACACGCACGCACGCCCGCACAUAUUUAGAAUCUACUCGACCUUCUAUCUUAACUAUUAUUAAAUUUAUCUGUAAUUCUAAUAAUUGUAAUAUAUCUAUGCAUAUUGAUUUCAUGUUAGAUGGUGAUCAUAGCCUUGGUCAUGCUCUUUUACUUUGUUAGUCUACUUAUAACAACCUUAAUGUUUCUACUACAACUCUAAAUACUAAUGAUAUCCACUCUUGUGAUACUACAAAUAGUCAUCACUAGAGCUAAGGCUAGUAUUUUUAAAAUAAAACUUUAUACUUUAACUAAUUCCUUUGUUCCUUGUGAGACAAUUUUUGUUAAGCAAGUACUAUCUUCCCUUGACUAGUACCAAGCCAUGCAACACAAAUAUCUUCUAUUAAAAAUCAUACAUGGACUUUUGCUCCCCUCGGCGCAACCACUACAAAAAAAUCAUGUAAAUAGUGGCGGUUAUUAAUAUCUGUCACAAAUUUCAAUAUAAUACGUCAUUUGACUAGCUGCUACAAUUAUCUUUCAAAAUAUGUCAUUUUCAAUUGUCACAAUUACCCUUCAGAAUAAAAAUAAGUUUUCCCUCCCUCAUUAUUCCCAAUUAUUUUGAAAAAGUUGGAAAUAUUAAUUAUGUGGGUUCUAGAAUUAGUAAAUAUUAUAUUAAAUUAAAAUAAUAAUAAAAUAUUUAUUUUUCUUCUUCUCUCUCAUGACUUGCCUGAGGAAAGAUGUAACUUCAGUGAAAAUCACUCACAUCUUCAAGAACUACGCCGACGAAGCAAACAACAGAGUUAGAGAGAGA